CAGGCUGUCAACAGUGGCAGUAGUUGGGGGCUCCCAUCUAUGAAAAAGCCACAGAAAGUCUUUUCCUACUGCCUGAGGAAUUAAUCCCUUCUUUAACGUUCAUAAUUGCUGGAUCGAUUUAACAGGACUGGAGCUAACAUUUGCUUGGAUUUGGCACCAUUGAUAGGGAACUGCCUGCUGCGUCCUCCGCUUUGAAGUCACCCUGGUCUUUGGGCCUCCAGCACCUUCUUCAGCAUGUCCAACCCAUCUAAGAGGCGUAUGAUACUGGUGUUCCACUGGGUUAGGAAGAAGCCAUUGACAGAGAAGCCGUGCUCUACCAUCUCGGCCAGACCUUCUGCCUCUGCACCGGCUUGCAACACUCCUCACAUUUCACCCUACUUCACGAGGAGCAAGACACAACCCGCUCCGCUCAGGAGGUCCAGCAGGCGCAAGGUGCUGCAAUUGCCGAAUCUCACCGACCCCAAGUUGUUAAGAUCUGUCAUUGGCAGCGUUGGCCGGAAGAGAGCCCGCAGGUGUGGCAAGCAAAAGAUGCCCACGAGCAUUUAAGAUAUGAAAAGCUACUGGAUUUAAUCAGGAAGUUAUGAGACAUGCACUGAUUGGAAGCGAAGCUGUAUAUCGGCCCUGAACCUUCUGCAGGUGCAGAUUAAGUAGGCUUGCUUUUAAAUGCCAUCUGAAUCAAGUUUCUCCCCCAUCCCUAUUGGUAGCUAUGUGGAGGGUUGCUACCACUUCUUCCUCCCUCCCUCUCCACUCCAGUGUAUCUUUUAACAUGAGCCAAAGAAGCAGACAAAAGGCAAAUGCUUUCCUCUCAGCUCUGUUCCCACUGGAGUCCACUGGUCUCCCCUUCUGUCACAGGCUCAUCCCUGAUCUCUCCCAGGUACCAGACGCUUUGCAACCAGAAGUUUAGUGAUCCUUCCACUUUGUUCCAGAUUUGGCAAGUAGGCCACAUAUGCCUUCCAGAUCUCGAGAAGAGGCCUGCCAUCUUCCACGCUUUGAUGCUGAGUGUCACGGAGGUGUUCCAUAAAGGCUUCCCUUUUACGGAUUAGAAAAAAAUACAAAUAUACAAAAAAAGGAAAAUACAUGUAACCAAUAAAAAAUUAGAAAACAUUUUACCUCUUCUCAUAUUUACAAUUAUUUGCACCUCUACAAAACAAUAUUCACAAUAAAGAAAAGAAAUGAAAGGUAAAAUAUAAAAUAAAAGAAUAAGAAGAAGAUAAAGAAAAUGAAGAAAUAAGAUCAAGAAUGAGAAUUUUGAAAGUAGAUAAGUAUUCACUAUACACAGCGAUUUCCAAUCUAUAUUUAUGUUCAAUUAUGUAUUUUCAUCAUAUCCUUAUCUAUCUUAAUUAAAAUAUUUUAAAAAGACUUCCACUGUUUGCCUCACACAUUUUUGGUAGUCCAUUUGCGUGUUGAGGUCCCCAAGCCACCCCUCAAAAUAAUUCACAAAUCACACGUAAUUUUUGUUUAAGGUUUUUGGCAUAAUCUUGGCCACAACUUUAUUAAAAUACAUAAUCUGUGAGUGGUUGCUUAGGCAUUGGUUAUGACUAUCUGUCCCCCCGCCUGGGACAGAACUGACUUUCCGAACUCCCUCGGAAGCCAGUGAAGGGAAAACAAUGUUGGGGAUCAGUUGAGCUAAGCGACAGUCCCUCACUGCUCACCCAACCAGCUCCCCAAGGCUUGCCAGCCCUGGUCCCAUUUCAGGGAUUGCACGAAAUCGUGGCAAGCCCCAAGAUUCCUUUAACGGAAUUCCCUUCCACACCACCAUUGGAGGGGCAGACACAGCCUAUCCUGACCACUCCUCCACCAAUUUUUAUAACCAAUGCCUAACCGCCACAUGAGCUCUUACGCUCGCCGCCAAACCACUCACAACCCCAACCAAGUACCCAAUUUUGCAGCCACUGCAUCCAGCCAAACAUCAUUCCCCAAAACGGAGAGGUGCACUCCAUCUGCCCGGUAAAGGGCCUCAGCCUUAAAAUUAAUGUCUGGGUGCAAAAUCACCAAACCACCCAGCUCCAAUACCUUCCCGCAAACAGCAGAGUUUAUGCGCUUCCUGGCCCUCUCAGCGGCCUCUGGGCAGGAAAUGCCGCGCCAGGUUCGCCACUGCAGCAGGUGAGACCAAAUUAUUCUCACUGAAGGUAGUAAGGCUGCCAAUUCUUCCAAAUCCCUUUGGAUUGUGGUGCACAAUGCAAGGCAAUCAGUAGUUGCCGCAUCAUUUUCCCCCAGCUGCACCACUAUAGCCACAAGCUUGGGGGGCAGCGGGAAGGUGGCGCGCAGCCUUUGCACUGCUCCCCGACCUGGUCUUUGAGGCUGGCAGUGGGGGAAAGCAGCGCUUCCCCCCCCCCCGCCAGCCCCACAAGCUCGUGGGGCAGUGGGAACGGAGCGUGCAGCCUUUGUGCUGCUCCCCGACCUGGUCUUUGAGGCUGGUGGUGGGGGAAAGCAGCGCUUCCACCCCCCCCCAGCCCCAAAGAGCAUGUCAAAAGGAACCCAAAGCCUCCGGAGCCCAGCGGGAACUCCCGCUGCACUCCUGAGGCUUCAGGUUGCCUUCACUGAAGCCUGGAGAGUGAGAGGGGUCAGUGCGCAGUGACCCCUCUUGCUCUCCAGGCUUCCAAGGUAGCCGCCUGAAGCCUCCAGAGCGCAGUGGGAACUCCUGCUGCGCUCCGGCGGCUUUGGGUGAACACACCUUGAACGUACAGAACGCACCUUGUUUUAGAGGGGGAGAACAAGAAAAAAAAUCUCCCCCUCUCUGCGCAGCGCCCCUUCAGUGAAGCGGCAGGAGAAAUGGAAGGGACUCCAUUUCUCCUGCUGCUUCGCUGAAGGGGCGCUGAGCAGAGAGGGAGAGAUUUUUUUUUCUUGUUCUCCCCCGCUAAAACAAGGUGCGUCCUAUGGUCAGGUGCAUCCUAUAGAGCGAAAAAUACGGUAUUUCAUAGAACUGAAGAGUUGGAAGGUACUCCAAGGGCCAUCUAGCCCAACCCCAGGCAAUGCAGGAAUCACAGCUAGAUUUCCCUAGAUUUAGUGAAUUCUUAUACCACCCUUUAUGACACAUACUUCCAGGGCAUCCCACACAGAAAAGAAGCAAAAACAGUAAAUACUUAUUAAAAUAAUGCCAACACAACAGUAUAUUUAAAAACAGCACCAUAGCAAAAUAAAAGAACGAGUUGAAUAGCAUCAAGCAUUCCCCCUUUCCCUAUUUUUCUUCUUCACUCGCUAAUAAAUUGUUCCCGGGUUCAUGAUGUAGAAAUUGUCAUUAAGAGAACAGUUCCAGGUGGACACAUGGUUGUCAUUUCCCUGCUGGCUCAGUUGGUUCCCAGAAAUGCUUUUUCCACUUCGGACUAUCUCCAUCUACCUCUCUGUCUUCCUGUCUCACAAUGGUGCAGCUGGUUUCCAUCCACAUGGAUUAGGAGCUGUCCCCCCCCUUUUCUUUCCAUUUGUUUUUAAAUAAAAGACUUCUGAGCGGUUGGGGGAAGAUGGCAAGGGAAGGGCUGCAUUUUGCAACUGGUGAGGAAGCUUGGCUCCUCUUUGGGAAAGCUUCAUCCACACAGGGCUUAGUUUGAGGGUCAUUUUUUUGUGUAGUUUGCAGUCCAUUCACAGUGCCUCCCCCAGCCUAACCUCUCUCCUUCACAAGGUUCUUGUGAGGAUAAAAUGGGGAGAACUAUUGCCCCCUGUAGAGAAAAGGUGAGAUAUAAAUAGAAUAAUAAAUACAAAUGCACCCCACAUGAGAACUGCUUUAUAUCCUCCUUGAGGGUUUCUCUCUGUCUGGAAUGUGUCCUUGAACUCUGAAGAUCCCUCUUGCUUGCCAGUAUUUGAAAUACUGAAUUUCAAAUUGUUGUAGCCUGCCCUGGGAUCAGCUUUUGAAGGACAGGUAAUAAAUCUACAACAACGAUGAUGUUUACAUCCACUGCUCCACCCACUUUUGCUUCUGGCCCCACCCACUGGUGGUAUGUGGCUCCCAAAAGGUUUCCCAGAAGGGGAAUGCGACCUCUAUUCUGAAGAAGCUUUCCCACUCCUGAUGCAGAGCAUAGUUUAACGAUGGAACUUGCUUCCAAAAGAUGUAGCAAAGGCUUCGUACUUGGAUGGCUAUUGUCAUGGACUGGUUGGAUGCAGAGGAGUGGUGGGAGGACUGGUGGUGGGAUGACAAUGAGUGGUCAGAGGGAGAACAGGGAGAAGACUGAAGAGGCAGGAGGGCUUAGUGAGCUGGGAGAGUCUGUGGCAGCGAGAAGCGUAGUUAAACAAUGGCACUCGCUCCCACAGGUCACCAAUUUACAUGGCUUUAACAGAGGGUUAUCCUUCAUAAAGGAGAUGGCUAUCAAUGGCGACUAGCCAUGAUGGCUGUGCUCUACCUCAACAGGUGAAGGCAGUAAUGCUUCUGAGUACCAGUUUCUGGAAACUGCAGGAGGGCAGAGUGUUGCUGCUUAUGGGUUUUCCACAAGCAUCUGGUGGGAACAGGAUGCUGGACAAGAUGGGCCAUUGGCACUUCUUAAUAAUUAAAAUCAACAGUUUUAAGUAUUGUAGGACUGGUAUAAUAUUUCAAUCUUUCUUUCUUUAUCUAUCUAUCAGCUGAUAGAUCUCUUUUCAACUGCAGAAGUCUUUCCCUCUUCCCUCGCCCCCUCAAUGUCCUGUUCUUCCUGGGCAUAUUCUUAAGAACAAAAAUACAUAACAGGCAGGUUUUAUUUAUUUUUUUAAGCUGUGGUUUCCAAUCAUAAGUUGGAUUUUCCUCUGACAGGCCCCCUGUGAUAAUCUUGGGGAGCUAAUGAGCAGCCAUAAAACUCCUUCCAGAAAUAUAGGCUCCAUGUGUAAUAUGGUCACCUUGCGGAAAAGAACACUGGCUUACAUCUUGGAUUUUUAUUUAUUAUUAUUUUUGCCUCUGUCCGCAGCUUGCACAGUAAUGAUCAUAUAGCUUGCAGACUUCUAAAAACAGGACAUCAACAGCUAACCACAAUGCUUUAGAAAGCAUUAGAUGGUAUACAAGAACUGAGGUGUACACGAUCCUGGUGCUAUUUUUAAGCCAGGGAAUGGAUUUUGCAUGCCAUGGAGCAGAUUUAAUAAACAGUGCUGUGCCAAUUUAUAAGGAGAGUCAGCUGAAGCCAGGAAACCAGGUUAUCCCACAAGAGCUGAAAGGGAUAGCAAAGCACUCAGGUGAAUGCAUGGUUUAGAUAAACGGGGAUCAAAAUACCCAAUGAAUAGACCCAAAAUGUCCCUUCACAACUGAAAGCCUGAAGCCAAAGAACUGGUUACUCACUGAACAAUUCAAACUAAAGAAAGCCAACUUCAGGUACUCCUAUUCCGAACUCAGUUCAAGAGGAAUUGGGAAGAAUUUGAUUUACACCACCUUUUUUUUUUUUUUUUGGUUAAGUUCCUCUGGGUUAAUAGGUCAUGUGACUAAGCGGAAAGAUGUGUGGAAUAGGCAUCAGUUUCUGUCCUGCUCCUCCUAUGCUACCCUACAAAUCCAGAAUACCCUUUUUGGGAGACUUAUUCCAAUAUAGGUUCUGCCAUUGUAAGUUCUUCUGGCUGAGCCCUGUCUGGGUGAGGGACAUAUGUCAGCAUAUCUUAGACUCAGCUACAGUGAGGGACUUAAUGCCAACUUAGGCACAUCUUAGCUGGGCAAGCCAAAGACUAUCAAAUCCAAACUGCCCCAUUCUGUCAAAUCCUUGGUUUGGAUUGCACUGUUAGUCUCUUUGCAUCUAUAAGUGCCAGUGAUUUUUUUUUAAUGGGGGGAGAAUCUAGCCCAUCAAAUUGACCAGAACUGUGUGGUGUGGCCAGUAUAUGGGGAUACUAAGUUAACAAGGCAAUAUGAGAACUCUCUCCUGUGUCCCAGAAACUUUUCUCAAUCUCCCACCUGCCCAGACAAGGGUUUAAUUGCUGUCAAACUGACAACUUUCAGUUUCCCCACAGAAGCUGGACUGUGAACUGCUCUGUUCCCUGAGCAAUGAAAUGUUCUGUGGCAUCACACCAGUUCUCUGUCAGUCAGUAUCAAAGGCUUUACCAUCACAAAUGCAGUGCAUGCAACGAAAGACAUAUAUAAGCAGCACUGAAAAUACCUUCAGAGAGGAACCAAAAGUUCAGGAAUAGCCUUGGAGUAGCACAGGGGCUGAUGGAGAUCCAGUCAACAGGCUCACCCAUACUUCUGCUUGUCCUUUGCACGGGUCCAAAAGGUUUUCCACUUGUCCUGUGGUUUCUAGGCAUGAGUCUGAGCAGUUUUGCUACUUUCUCUGGGAAAUUGCACUGUUUACCACUGAAUUGGAGCAAAUGUCCACUUGCAGAAAAAAAGAUUGUUUGUUCCAGUUCAGCAGUAAACAGCAGGUUGGGCAAGCAGGAAUAUGGACAAGCCCAAAACCUUUUUCAAAGGAUACUUCAUUAUGUCUAAGAGUGUGGUUUGAAGGCAUAUGGGGCUACUACCUUGCUUGAAAGCAGGUCUGGGUCUGGUCAGUGCCUGGAUAGGUAACUAUAUGGGAACCACAGUGGAAGACAAGCAGGAUAUAAACAUAAUAAAAUAAAGACAAUAUAGCCCAUAGUCAAGUGUUGUUAUUUAUUAAUUUAUAUACCUUUUAUAUGCAAAAACAGUUUCUAAGCUGUCAUCAUCUAAGUGUGCACUUCACUGGCAGGGGCGAAGUGAACUAGUGGGGUUAGAGGCCUCUAUUAUAUAUUUUUUGGCAGAGUACCUUAGAAAGUGCUCUUGCAAAAUCAGUGAAAUGUUCCCUAGGAUUUCACUCUCAAGGUUAUUUUCAUCAACCUUGCUUGCUUUUCCAUCAGCCCAUCAGUGAGUCUUUUGCUUUUUGAGUGUUGUUCUUUCCAGGCCAAUCAAGGAUCUGCAGAAAGGUUUUUCUUCCCCGUAAUCAAUCCAUCAGUCAUGUCUGGUUUGUCACGUCUAAAAAACGAUAGAAACCUCAACAAGUGCUUAAUAUUCCCCAUUGAGAAGCCUUAGCACCCUGAAGUUGGUAUGAUUAACAUUACUCCACCAUCAACAGGAAGAGUAUUAAAGCUUUGCUUUAUAAACUAGGAAAAAUCCAACAGUAAAUGGGGGGGGGGGGGGCGGGAGGAAGAAGAAAAAGGAGAGACAGAGAUAAUGUAUAUGUAAAAUAUUCACUGCAUUAUUGCUUUAUAUAUGCAUCGUGCAGUAGAUGAGGAAUCUUAAAAGUGAGAAUGCUGUUGAUAAAUCUAGCAUGGUUAUUUGACAUUUAAUUUAUUUACUUAAAUAAUUCCUACCUUGCCUUUCAAAUAAAUUUUCCAAAGCAUGUGACAUUAACACCCCCCCCCAAAAAAAACCCAAGCAAAUGCAAUAUAAAAUUGCAUUGAGAAAUUAAAAGCAUAAGGCUUAUAAAAAGCUGAUAAAAACAGCAGAUUAAAAAGAGCCAGCCCAGUCAUAAAAUACCUUUUGGAAUAAAAACAUCUUUAAAAUGCCAUAUAUGAAUGGGAAGAGAGAAGGAGGAGAGAGAAUUCUAUAAACUUAGUGGCAGCACUGAAAAGACCCUGAACUUAGUAACCAGCAAUUGGCUUUCAGCUAACGUUGAGCCUCUGAUGCCCAUCUAAGGCUCAGACAGAUUCAUAUGGGUGACAAAAGUCCCUAAAAUAAUAAAUAAAAGUUUUCCCCACAGAGCAACAACUCCCAGAAACCUCAACAAAUUACAGUUCCUAGGAUUCUUGUGUGUGUGAUGUGCUUUAAAUGUGCUUCACAUGCACAGUGUGAUUGCAGCCGGUGCUCCUGGUCACUUCAAUGCACGCUUUGUGUUCGUUCCCCCUCCAAAUGUGUGGCUGGUGGCUGAGGGACUUCAGCAAAGGAAUCUUCCAGUUCAUUGAAGCUAAUCAACAACUGAUGUGCUUCUUCCCCUCACCCAAAGUCCUUGCUGCCAUCUGUUUCAUCCAUAUUCAUAAAUCUGAUAGCUUCACACUCUCCAAAAUUGAAUUGCCGAGUCUCGCAACCUUAGCUAGAUAGGGCGUGUUGUACUGUUUGAUUUUAACAAGGCUGAUAAGACACAUCGUGCAUUCUGCUAGCACUCAGUCUCCUUUUGAUUUCAAAUAAUUUAAAUGCUUGCCUUUUGACAACCUAUCUCAUCCUGGGGUGAUAAUUAAAAUGCAGUUUUCUUAUUGUGUUUCAUGGAGCCCUGAGAGGGCAAAAUGCAAUCAAGCUUUCACACCAUAGAAAUCCAGGAAAAGCAUUGGUGAUCUCGUUUUCUGAUAUCUUUUGGCAAUGGAAUUGAUUUUUAAAAAACAAGCAUUGUGCAUAAUGGACUCAAACAAAACUGGGACAGGAAUAACAUCACUGGGUUCUUUAAAACUAACCCCAACCCCCGCUGCCACUUUUACAGUUUGUGAUUAUAAGAUGUUGUUGUUUAGUCGUUUAGUCGUGUCCGACUCUUCCUGACCCCAUGGACCAGAGCACGCCAGGCACUCCUGUCUUCCACUGCCUCCCGCAGUUUGGUCAAACUCAUGCUGGUAGCUUCAAGAACACUGUCCUACCAUCUCGUCCUCUGUUGUCCCCUUCUCCUUGUGCCCUCAAUCUUUCCCAACAUCAGGGUCUUUUCCAGGGAGUCUUCUCUUCUUAUGAGGUGGCCAAAGUAUUGGAGCCUAGGUUUCAGGAUCUGUCCUUCCAGUGAGCACUCAGGGCUGAUUUCCUUAAGAAUGGAUAGGUUUGAUCUUCUUGCAGUCCAUGGGACUCUCAAGAGUCUCCUCCAGCACCAGAAUUCAAAAGCAUCCAUUCUUCGGCGAUCAGCCUUCUUUAUGGUCCAGCUCUCACUUCCGUACAUCACUAUUGGGAAAACCAUGGCUUUAACUAUAUGGACCUUUGUUGGCAAGGUGAUGUCUCUGCUUUUUAAGACGCUGUCUAGGUUUGUCAUUGCUUUUCUCCCAAGAAGCAGGUGAUACUCAGCUGAAAUUGCCAAAACUGGCUUUUGAGUUGAAUGUCCCCUUUAAGAUUUCCCCUUUAAAUACAAAUUCUAUCCCCAAACAUGUGGCUGUCAUAUUGGAAUCAUUUUGUGUGCAGCCUAAGGGUUAAUUCAGUUUGUGUUAAAUUUAACUACUCAAGAGGGGCAGGUAGAGGAAUUGCUUGGCAACCAGGCUGUGUGGCUUGAUGUUUGCUGCGGUAGCAUGUGCUCUAAUUUGCUGAUUAGUUCUGAGGGAGCUUUUCUUCUGUAUGUUUGGUUGAAUAUCUCCCUACUGUGUACAAGGCCUGAAGUAUGAAAGACAAAGCCUCUCUAUUCCUUUCGUUUUUAUAUAUAAUUUUAUUUUUUAUUUUGACAAAGUAAUAAUAAUAAAUAAAUAAGAAUAAAAAUGUGCACCCCACCCCCAAGACCAUUCCAUUGCAACUAUCCAACCACCCAAAAUUUCAACACCUCUUGCGAUGGUUUGACCCCUUUCCAUUUUAACAGUACAAAUUCUACAAACACCUUCCAUAUUGCCUCAAAAUCGUUUCUCCUGCAUAUACCCCAUCUUACCUUAAUAGCAUAUGUUAAUUUAUCAUUAAUAUCCCACACCUCUUUAUUCCAAUCUCUCUAUUCCUUUCUCCUCAAAUAAUAGAAUGUUUCAUUCCAUUUCUGCAGUAAAGUAUUGUCAGCAUUCCUUUUCUUUCUGGACUCUGUCUGCAUUUUUUAAGUGCUAACACUGAAGAUAGGUGGUUUAUGAUCAGGGCGUUUUCACUGGCUAAGGUUGUUGGGAGUUUGAGUCAUAUAACAUCUGAAAGGCUACAGGUUACCUUUUUUAAAAACUUUCCCCUUGGACCAAAGGCUGACUGGGGCUGAUGGUAGUUGUGGUCCAAAACAUCUGGAGGGCACCAUGUUGGCAGAGACCAGAACAUAAGAAUGUAAAUGAAUGCUGCUGUAAAUCCUUUCCUUGCUCCACACCAAAGGCUUGACUAUGAUGGUAUGGCAGAUACAAGCGUUGGAACGUCUUCUGUGCCUCACUUGCACAAGUCAGGAUGAAUUUCAGUCCACCAGGAGUAGACAGGAAAGGACAAAGUGGUGUGACUGAGCAACAGUGCUGCAGCAUGAUGGGUGGUUAGCAAGUGAAGAGAUAAGGAAGUUGCCACCGAUUUUAGCCUCUCUUUUUUUACCUGUCUAAUGAAAUUAGUCUACUGGUACCUGUGCUUUUCCGAUGCUGUGCCUUUCUUUUCAAUGCUCUUUGAAAGCUCCUGUUGAAAUUAAUCUGUUUCUCAUAAGAAUGUUGCCAGGUUAGGUCAACCCAAUUGUCUAUCAAACAAUGCGUUCUUCCUGGCAACAGUAGAGAGUGUGGGGGAGGGUUGAAUUCAAUUCAGUUUGCAUUGAAAGGCAAACUUACCUAAUUUGCCUUUUCUAAAACAAUUAACAAAUGAAAAUCCAGCUACCAGUUGCUGGGAACUGUUCUGCAGACAUCUAGAUGGCCACUGUGAGAACAGGAUCCUGGAGCAGAUGUGCCAUCAGCCUGGUCCAGCAAGGCUCCUCUUAGGUUCAUUCUUUAAAAUUUGCAUUUUUCUGAAUUUUGCAGUGCAGAUUUCCAAUCAAGUACUGUGUGCAUCUACUGGGGUACAAAAAUGUAUCUACUGGGGGUAGUGGGUGCAUGGUGUUUCUCCCCCUCCAAACAUUUUUAUUAACAUCAAUAACUGGGCACAAGUCUAAUGAUGUAAGCCACAUCCAGGGGAGCAAACAUGGAAUUCCUAGCAGUACCACAACUUUCCUUCCACCUCAGCAGCACUGAGCUCCAGGAUUCAACUGCAGUACCAGCCUGUCUGAACUUCCCAUCAACUGACAUUGAAAGGCCAGUCCCUGUAUGCCAGACUCCAUAAAGCUUGCAUGCACCUCAGACGUAGUAACUCAUUUCUUGCCUGAAGGAGCUGCCUAGCCUCUGAUUCCCCUGCCUUGACCUGGACCUCCAAAUCCUCAGCUGCUGCUUUGUAAAAUUAUUCCACCCUGCCUGUUGCAUACCACUGCCCACUUGGGAUGUCAGCUAGCUCUUCCAGAACCAAGCUUCUUGGAGCCCAACCCUUGCUGAGACCUAACAUAAGCAGCGAGGAAAUAUUGAUGGCAACUGAGCACUGGCCACAAGGGCUUAUAACCCUUGCUAAAUGUGUGAGCCUUUAAUGUGGCUGCCAGAUUUCAUGGUUGCUUUUAUAAUAGGGUGUGGCUCCGCCAUGGGGGUGGGUCACAGGGCUGAGGAUUGUUGAAGAGCAUGUGGCAGAACACCUGCCUUGCAUGCAGAAAGUCCCUGGUUCAACCCACAGCAUCUCCAGAUGGAGCUGGAAGAGACCUUGCCUGAACCCUACAGGACCACUGUCAGUGAAUGUAGACAAGAGAGAGAGAGAGCCAGAUGAAUCAAUGGCCUGAGUUAGCAUACAGCAGCUUCACUGGUGGAGGAAGAGGAGUGUGGGGGGAGCACAUUGCCUCCGGCAGUGCGAUCCCGGCAGGGUGCGAUUGCAGCUGCCCCACCAUGUCCGCGCUGGGUGCCCUGCCCCCACAGGCAGUGUGCCCCACCCCCAGGACAUGUGCCAGUCCCGCCCCGCCUGCGCUCUGCCACUGAGCAGCUUCCUGUGUUCUGGGGUCAUGCAAGGAAUGUUGGAAGAUUCAGGAAAGCCAAAAAGAAGCACUUAUUCACAUAGCACAUAGUAAAAAAUAAAGGACUCACUAUCAUGAGACACAGUGAUGGUCUCCAGUUUGGAUGGUUUUAAAAGCGGUUUCGCUGAAUUCACAGAGAGGAAAAGAGUAUCAGUAGCUAGCUGUGAAAGCUGCUGACCCUACCAGGACUGAAGACACUCUACCUCUGAAUGCCAGCUGUUGGGGGCACAAGUGGGGAGAGUGUUGUUGCUCUCAGGUUAUCUCUGUAGGCUUCCCAUUAGGCCAUCUCAUUGACCAUGAUGAGAACAGGAUCCUGGAUCAGAUGGGCUUUUGGUGUGAUUCAGCAGGACUCCACUUUUGUGUGUUUGUAAUGUACCAUCAUAGCACAUGGCGCUUAAGCUCUGGGAUACUUCAUAUGGUAGAGCACAAGGGACUUAAUUUCAGGGUUGUAGAUUCAAGCUCCACAUUGGGCAAAUUAUUCCUGCAUUGCAGGGGAUUGGACUAGAUGAUACUAGUGAUCCCUUCCAGCUCUACAAUUCUAUGAUUCUAUGAUUUAUAGAGGAAACCAUAAACAAAAAUCACCUGCAUUCUUUGCCCCAAGCAGCUUACAGGGGUAAAUUUGCCAUUGCCCCAUUAUAAUUGCAGCAGCAGGGAUCGUUCAGUUUGUAACUUAAGGGGUUAAUUCUGUUCUUAAAAGGAGGGCUGGAGGUGUUGCAUAGUAACCAAACAGAGUGGCAAGAUCUUUACCAAAGAAGCAUGCAAUUUUUGUAGCUUUGAGGGAUAUUUUCUUCUGUAUGUUUGUUUAAAUGUCUCCAGUCUAUGUAGGAGGCCUGAAGGAAGGAUGACAAACCCUCUCUAUUCCUUCCUUCUCAAAUUAUACAUGUUUUUUGUUCAGCUUGCUUAAGCGAUGUGUUAUCAGGACUUUUCUCUCUGGCCACCAUCUGCAUUAUUUCAUUGCUAACACCCCCAUGUCUUGUAACUGUCCCCCUUCCUUUUCUUCCAGAUUGGAAAGUACGGAAAUCAGUCCUCUUUAAUCUGACUCACAUGGCAGGGUUGUGGUUGUUGGUUUUUCUUUUUUCUUUUAAAGCUAGAUGAGACAAGAAUUGUAAAGUGUGUUGAACACCUCAGAGUUCUACAGAAGCACAAACAUUCUUACCCUACAUCAAAUGGAAAAGAAAAGAAAAUCACAAUUAAAUCUGGUGAUUCAAACAAGAGUGCGGUGGAUGCAGACAGAGCUUGAAAAUCCUUCACAGGGAGAACUCUGUGGGAUUCUGCACCCAGCAUAACAAGCAGGUUCUGCUGACAUUCCCCAUUCAUUUAUAGUGCUCUGCAGCCAGUUGCCAUCGCUGUUGCCAUGGCAACACAAUAACUCUAGCCUAUAUCUGAGGAGGUCCCCUCAGCCGGCAUCCCAAGGUUUCCCCCAAAUGCUUGCAAGGAAGUGGAUGGGGCUCCUGAAUGCCAAUGAACAACCCUCCCAUUUGCUGGGUGAUGGGAGAGGGGAAUAAGAGUGAAAUAGUGCAAAGUGACCUGAAUAUUAAUUUGGGGUGGUGGGGGGGGGGGAGAAAAGAGAGAAAAGAAAUCCCCCAAUCUCACGACACAAAUGCGUCAAGAUUCACAGCUCCCUCUCUCCUGCAGGAUCAUAAAACCUGGAAGAGCAUCCUUUAAUUCUGAGAUACCUUUGUGUGCAGCUGGGUGAGCCGAAAUCACAGUUGUGCCCCAGGCUUUUUAGCAGAGGGUUGGGGGGGGGAGUGGGAGAGUUAUUAUCAUUAUUUAAUUGUACCAAAACCUAACUGUUUAUGCAGACCAGUGAGGCAGAGUGGGGGGGUUGUUUGGGGGGCAGGAAACCCCCCCACCUCAUGCACAAACCCUAUGCAAAGAUGCUCCAUGUGUUAAUACAUAUUUGCUUUUUGAUCUUUCCCUUCCUUGUGUGGAUUCUGUUUUUCCCCCUGCAGCAGCAGCAGCAGCAGCAGCAGCAGCAGCAGCACCCCCACUAUGGAGCAAUUCUGGUGACUCACCAAAGGGAGUUCCCUUCUUCUUGGUUUCUGGCUUACAAAUGUAUCUCUUCAGCAUUGCCUUAGUGGUGCCGGUAAGCUUAUUUCUGCCGGGAUGGAGAAAGGGGCUGUGGAAAUAAUAAUAAUAAUAAUAAUAAUAAUAAUAAUAAUAAUAACAAUAAUAAUAAUAAUAAUAAUUUUAUUUGUACCCCUUAAAUGUUGCAACUCCUGUCUGUGAUGUGAUUGAUGUCUGUACUGAUGUUACCUUUGGGGAGGGCAUUGGAAUCUGCCUUAUAUCACUCAGUAUCUUUGUUCAUCUAUCCCAGUGGUGUCUUUUCCUGACUGGCAGGGAUUCUCCAGGGUUUGGGAGCAAAGAAAAGUAUUUCCUGCCACACAGUACCUGAAUCUUUUAGGUCAGAGAUACAGAAGGCUUUUCCCCCCUUGUUUGCUUUCUUUCAAAUAUUUUUUGUUAAAGUUUUCAAAAUACAAUAAAAUAGUAUCUGAAAGAAAUAGAAUCAAGAAGGAGAGAAACAGCAAAGGAAAGAGAAAAAGAAAAUGAGAAGGGGAAGGGGAAAGGAACAGAGAGACAGGAAAAAAAUUAAAAAUUAGCACCAAUAAUAAUAGUAAUAUAAUGAGGCACUAAAUUAUAUGUAUAUAGCCCUCUAGCAUAAUUAUAUCUUAAUCUUCCAUCCACAUACAAAUAAGUGAGUCUUCCCAGCUCCCACCUGGGGAAGCUUCCCCCUUUCUCAGCCUCACAUCAUGAGGAUAAACCUUCUCUGGCCUUUCUCUCACAUAGGUCCCUAUCUUCUAUCCUCAUUUCCCCCAAAUCUAAAUAUUCAAAAAUCCCACAUCUAUGGAUGUGGUGAAUCAGAGAUGUCAUGGCCUAUAUAUCAAAUGUGUGUGAUGGUUUAUAUCCAUUUGCUUCCAGAAGUGUCACAGCUUGUUGCCUCUUGAUACUGACUAAAGAUAGCCUUGGACACAUGGGCACAUAGCACAUGGGAAAGCUUAAUGUCCAAACAAAGCCACAUGGAAAAAGAGAGGACAUGUGCAAGUAUAUAACGCUCAUUACUCGAUGGCUUACAGCUGAAUGUGUGAACUGGCUACAUUAAAGAGCGAUGGUGCAUUUAAGAACCUAAGAACAUAACAAGAGCCUGCUGGAUCAAGCCAAUGGCUCACCUAAUCCUGCGUCCUAUUCUCACAGUGGCCAACCCACUGGGAAACCCACAAGCAAAACCCACAAGAGCACUCUCUGCUUCUGAAGUUUCCACCAACUGGUGUUCAGAAGUAUUACUUCCUCCAACCAUGGAGGUAUAUUCUAGCCUCAGUCACAGCUAGUAGCCAUUCAUAGAUGUAUCCUCCAUGAAUUGUCCAAUCCUAUUUAAAAGCCAUCCAAGUUGGCGGCCAUCAAUGCCUCCUGAGCAUGUGAUUUCCAUUUUGAGCUGCUGCCAGGUGACCUGCAAGUUAUCUCUGUGUUGAUUAAUCUGUGGUGGAUUAAUCUAUUGUGUCCCAUGGAAGUAGAGGCAGAUGGUACAGUCAGUAACAGAUAUCUGGCUUCUCCAGGGAAGGCUAGGAGGGACUCAUCUUUGAAGCCCUGGAGAGCAAAUGUCUUUCAGCAUUGCCAGGACAAGCAGAGCCCAAUCUGCCAUCUAGAUCCUAGAGCACAACCAUUUAGAAACUUGAGCACAUCCAAGUAUAGCUUCAGGGCAGUGGGCUACCUAGAAUAUAGCUGCUAGAAUAAGGAUGGUCAGCAACCCAGAUAUCAGGACCAUCUGGGAGAGUAAUCAUGUGUCUCAGUUCAGGUGGCUAGUCAUAAUAAAUAACAAGAUGAAAGGUGACAAAAUAUUUUUUAAUAAUUCCAGUGGCACCUUAAAGAUCUACUAAAUAUAAGCUUUCAAGGUAUGAGCUUUCGUGUGUGAUGCACACUUCAAUGUGUUUCAAUGAUGUUUUUUUCAUUCCAGACCCUGGUUAUUCAUCCUAGGCCAGUGUUUUUCAGACUAGGGUCUCCAACAGUUGUUGGACUACAACUAGCACCAUCCCUGACCACUGGUCCUGCUAGCUAGGGAUGAUGGGAUUUGUAGUCCAACAACAGCUGGGGACCCAAGUUUGAGAAACACUAUCCUAGUCUCUCUUUUAAAGGCCCCCAAUCCAUUCUCAGCUGCACUGGUGAGCACAAACCAUGGAGCAUGGGAUCCCCAGGGAGGAGGGCCCUGGUUCAUGUGGGGAGUAUGGCUCAGGGGGUUGGUGUUUCUUGGAACCUUCUUGAGGAGUUAUGGGUUCCAGGAGAUCCUGGUUAUUGUUAUCAGAACUUGGGUCUAUUGCAUCCAUCAGUGGUACUGUUCACUGUUAAUAGAACAAUGGAAGCUUCCUUCUUCUAAAUUUAGCCUUUGGUACAUGUAACAGUAUUUUUGACACUGACUGAUAGUGGCUCUCUAGGAUUUCAGCCAGGAGUCUAUCCUAUCUCUGGCAGGAGAUGCUGGGGAUGAAACAUGGCACUUUCGCAUGCCACACAGGUACUCUACCACAGGGGCCACUUGAUCUGUGCCUGGGUUCUAGUUGCUGACCAAGAUCAUUAAAAUCCAAGUGGUAUUCCUCUUCAGGAUUCUGGUGCUUCAGAGAAUGUGCAGAGUGCUCUUCUUUCUAGGGUAGAGUAUCUCUCUCUCUCUCUCUCUCUCUCUCUCUCUCUCUCUCGUGUGUGUGCUCAAAAGCACAACAUAGAAAGCAGAGGCACAGCAGCAAACAGCAAAAAGUAAUUUCCCCUCCUGACUUGGACUGUAUCUGAUGUUAAUCCUACAAAGAGUAGGCCCACUGAAAGCAAAGGAUAGGACUCAUAUAGGUUCAUUAAUUUAAGUAGGUCUACACUGAGUAGCUGGAUGCAACCCUUGACAUCCUGACAUCUAUCCAAGAAACUAACUCUGGCCAGUCCUCAUUUCCAAUUCUGGCUGGCUGUUUCCCAAUUCUACAUCUACUGUGUGUUCCAUUUUCUUCUCAAUCACAAUCAAACCUUAUCAUGGAGAAUGAUCUGCCAUAAUAUGAAUUUCUGGGAACCAGAGAAGACCUGACAUAAAGUAGAGAUGGCCUAGAUGCUGAUGAAUAAAUGGAAUUAACACCUAGCUCAAGGGUACUUAUGGGAAAGCCGGUUUAAACAACAGCAACAACAAAAUUACACACCACAACCAUAUCAUGGAAUGUUAGUUAAUAAGGGACUUUCCCCCUCAUUAAACCUCCCCCCAUCACCACACAAGUUUGUUGAGGAAGUUUCGGAGCUCAGUGUUGGGACAUCUUCUCUGCAUGCAGAAGGUCCCAUGUUCAAUCCCUGGCACCUUCAAACAAGCUUGGGAGAGACUUGCUUCCUGAAUGCCUGGAGAGCCACUGCCAGUCAAGAGUAGACAAUACAGUGGUUACCUCGGUUCUCAAAUGGCUUAGUUGCCGAACAAAUCAGCUCCUGAGCACUGCAAACCUGGAAGUAAGUGUUCCAGUUUGCAAACGUUUUUCGGAAGCCGAAUGUCCGAUGCGGCUUCCACUUGAGUUCAGGAAGCUCCUGCAGCCAAUCAGAAGCCGCGUCUUGGUUAUCAAAUGGUUUUGGGAGUUGAACGAACUCCUGGAAUGGAUUAAGUUCGAGAACCAAGGUACCACUGUACUGAGCUAGGUGGACUAAGCAUAAGGCAGUUUCCUGUGUUCCUUUGCUUGUUUGUUGGUUUAGUUUACAGAGACAAAAAGUGAUGCCAGUCAAAUUUUAUUGUGAGCAUUAAAUUAAUGCUGAGUCCGUAUCAGAAAAGGAACUGUUUGAAACCAAGACAGCCAAGGCAGAAUUGUAGGUCAUGAAUAUAAAAGAGACGAACACCCAGUUACUCUAAUGUUCCCUCUCUCUUAAGCAUUUAUCUACUGUAUAUACUGAUGUGCAUAUAACACAGUGGCGAUGAACCUGUGUGCCUCCAGACAUUUUUGGAGCAUAGCCAGUACCAGGAAUGAUGGGUGUUGGAGUACAACAACAUCUGGAGGGCCACAGGUUCCCCAGUUUAUAGCAUGUAUGUGUGUAUUAUUGUCUUAAUUUUAUUUUUUAAAAAAAUGAUAUUUAUUAAAGUUUCAAAAAAAGGUUACAUAGAUAAGAAAAAGAAAAAUAGAGAAAAGAAAAAUACAAAAUACAAAAAAAAAACAAUUAAAAACAAUUCCAUCUUUUCAUCACUUAUCUUUCAUUUACUUGUUUCCCGGACCUCCUCAUGCCUCCCUUUUUUGUAUUCCAGUUCAAUUUAUUAGUUCAGCAAUUCCUUUCCCUCCUUAUUUUAUCCUGAUCUUUAAUCUUAAUAUAUUAUAGCAUUAAGUUUUUACGUAUUAAAAAUCCAAUUUUUCCAUAUUCUUUUAUACCAUUACAGCUAGAAACCACUUAACUUCAAUCCAACAUCAUUCUAACAUUCAUUAAUUUUGCAAUAUUUCUGUAAAUAGUCUUUAAAUUUCUUCCAAUCUUCUUCCACCGACUCUUCUCCCUGGUCUCGGAUUCUGCCAGUCAUUUCCGCCAAUUCCAUGUAGUCCAUCAUUUUCAUCUGCCAUUCUUCCAGUGUGGGUAGGUCUUGUGUCUUCCAAUGCUUUGCAAUAAGUAUUCUUGCUGCUGUUGUAGCAUACAUAAAGAAAGUUCUGUCCUUCUUUAACACCAAUUGGCCGACUAUACCCAGGAGGAAGGCCUCUGGUUUCUUCAAGAAGGUAUAUUUAAAUACCUUUUUUAAUUCAUUAUAAAUCAUCUCCCAGAAAACCUUAAUCCUUGGGCACGUCCACCAAAGGUGAAAGAAUGUACCUUAAUUUUAAUACUGUACUACUGUGUUGCUGUAACCCACUCUUGGACUUUGCACUGAAGGGCAGGUUUUUAAAAUAAAAAAAUUUCCACAAAUAAAUGUGCAAAUGUCAAAACCUCUUUGAAUUUUACUGGUAGGUCUUAAGAUUUUAGGGAGACUGACCUUGGUCAACAGCCAAAUCUGAUGUUUUGUUUCCAGUGCUAAAGGAUAACACUUAAAACAGCUCAUGUGUCAGUCUCAAAAAAUGCACCUUGUGAUGACACAAUCCUUUGCAAGAUUUACUUCUCAAGUGCCAAGAAGGGCUUGCAGUAAAUGAAUCGGUUUCACCCUCAUUUCUCUCAUGUACCAGUAAUUGUCCCAUGCUCAGCUCCAGAUGAUCUCCCUCAUCCAGGUUAGAAGACUCCUGCUGGAUCAGGCCACAGGCCUAUUUGGUCUAGUACUUGCGGUAGCCAUCCUGAUGCAUCUUCUGCCAAAAGCAGGACCUGAGAGCAACAGCACCCCCCCCCGCAGUUUCAAACAACUGGCACACAUGGACUUGGAAGCAUUGAAGUUGGUGGGACUCUACUGAACCACCUGUCUCUGCCUAGUCAGUGCAGAAUGAUGCACUGGUGUGCAAUGUUUGGUUAAUUAUUCAGUUAGGUGUCUUGAUUGCAGCACUUUAAAUUAAAAGGUGGACAGAAUUAAGCAGACUUCAUUUUUUAGAAGGUAGCUUUCUAGAAUUUCAAAAAACUGCAGUUUUGGAAAUGGAGGUAUUACCAGUUGUGCUUCAUCUUAAAAAAGGGAUUAGGAACCUCAGCUGCAAGGGUCAAAUGUGGCCCUCGAGGUAGCUCUAUUUGGCCUUUGUGACUCCUCCUCCCUCCUUCCCUGGCUGCACUGCCUCUUCCUGAGCCACACUCCUUACUGACCUGGAUGCAUCUCUUCCUUGAGUGCUUCUGGCAUGCUGGAAAGUAUCAUAGAACUGUGAUAACAGCUCUUGACUAAGGAAUCAUGUGUGUGCAUGGAAAUCUCUGACUUCUGCAUGACUGAAAUAGAGCCUACCGUACAAAGAAAAGAUGUGAAUAGAUGUGAAUCUAUUGCUCUGGCCUCACCCACCUUUGCCUCUGUCCCCCCACCCCAAUGCUGAAACAUGCCCACCCUCCUCAAAAAGGUUCCCUAAGCAUGACAUAUUUUUUUACCCUUUGAAACAAUGGUUCUCUCUUGUAUGCAAAAAUAUGCAGAUUUAAUUGAUCAAAACCUUACCCAGUUAAUUGACUGCAGGUUUUUUUUAGAUUAUUAACAUUAUCAUCAGGUGACAGCCUUAUGGACAACUGUUCCAUUUCAUAUCCCAUACAAUGUCACUUGGUUAACAUUCGGCUAAGAUAAGCCAUUCCCUUUCCCCCCUUUCCUUCUGCAGACCUAUAAAUUGUUGGAAAGGGACAUGCAAGGUUACUGCUGGGUUAAUGCACAGAGUUAUUCUCCUCAUUAUUUGGCAUGCGAGUGAAGAUAAAAAGCUCAAGUUCAAUCAACGGGAAACAUUCUUCUAUCUUAGAAAUUUGAGCAUAUAUCAAAGUCAAACAAUAUUUGAAAUAACGAGCUCUUCAAAGCUGGAACAAUUGAGAUUUGCAUAUGUCUUUGCAGUGUGCAUGCAAGCAAUCAAUGGCCUCCGUGUUUCUGGGGAAGAGCGUCGGAAAAUCUGAAAUCAUUUUGGAGCACAGGAGUAAACAGCUGCAGCCAGACAGGGGGAUGCAAGCUUCUUCUUUUUAUCGCAGACUCUUUAGCCAAAUGUUACAUCCCAUUGUACAUGAGGGGAUGUACUGAAAAAGAGAGAGAUGGCAUUCAGUUAAUGCUCAAACAACUAAGGUGAAUAGGAAGCACAGCUAUCCAAAUUACCAAUGUCCUACACAUGUGCCCCCCCUUCUCUCUGCAGCUUCUCCUGAAGCAUUUGCUGGUGUAGGCAGGAGAGGUAUCAUCUGAAUGCAGAGAGGGGGAGGAUUCUAAUAGGCACCAUUUGUGAAUCCUACAACCUUUCUUUGGGGAGAUAUUCUUCCCCUGCACCAAAGUACCAAAUCACCAAAGCACUGCUUUUCCUGAUAUAUAGAUCCAUUGGGCCAGUUCCUCUCCCCUUGCACACUGUUUGCAUGCUAAGCAACCAACAGGGCACACAUAGGAGCAAAGCCUUAGAAUUCAAUGUGGGCAAUAGAGGUGAGCACUAACUUACAUAGCUAUGCCAAGUACCUUGCUACAGCUGAUGGCAUUUCAGACUGGAGUUGCUCCAAUGUUUACUCAAGGGGAAGGAAGAGAGAGCGAGGGACCAAGAGAGAAGGGGCACUUUCUGUUUGGAGCUGACUAUAGUUUCUUUCUGUGCUAUUCCCUCCAUACAUUGUUAACUUUGUCCUCUUUCCUGUAAGACUGGAAUGAUAAACCUGUGGCCCUCCUGAUAUUGCUGGACUGAAGUUCCCAUCAUCCCUGUCUAUUGGUCCUGCUAUCUGGGGCUGGUGGGAGCUCAGAGUCAAGCAACACAUGGUGGGGUAUUGCUUCCCUUCUCUACUAUUGCUUCUGUACGUCUCUCCACCUUUCUGGUUACUGCUGCUAUGUUCUUUCUGAAAAUAUGUGGGUAUGUUGUGGAUGGGAUGGUGUCAUGGCAAUGUGUAGCAAAUCUGGUCUUGCUACAAGAUAAUAUCGAGUGAGGGCAAACAAAGCCAGUUGUGAGUGAAGAAGCAGUGCCUCUUGAAUCAAGCAGCUUGGUCAUCCUAGCCAACCAGGGAUUACCUGGUGAUUGGAGUGAUGUAACUGCACUACAUAUCCAAUUGCUUUGGCUAUGGGACAUUACUGAAGGUAAACAAAGCGGAGAACGAGAAAGAGCAUAAUAUAAUUGCAUAGGCAAACGUUUUUGUAGGCAUUGUGGGGAAAUUGUCAAAAGAAUGGGCACUUUUUGACACAGGCAAAUAUGUUCCUGAAUAGCAGAGCGAUGUCUGCGCUCUCACAUAGCUUGCGCAUAACAAAAAGCUGGAAGGGGGGGGGGAUGCCACUGAAAGGGAGAUGUGAACAGCUUAACAAACUGCACAGUUCCCCCCUCCCUCUGACCAUCAGUGUCCAAAAUGCAAUUUAAAAAUCAUUCAGCAAGUACACAGAUGAUUUCCAUCUGAUAUAAAAGGGAAAUGAAAGCCCCAAUGCUCUUAUCUCCAUUUGCCCACGGAAGGAAAGGAAAGGAAAUGAAAUCUCACAUUUUCACCCCAGCAGCACAGCUGCAAACUUGUAAACAAAAGUCAAUAGAAGGUUUCAUUUGAUUACCGGCUUUGAUCCAUCAGUGCUGGAUUCUGAUUUGCUCUUAACACUGGCCAGAUUGCUUUCAUCUUAUAAAAUAUACGAGGAAGCAAGAUGACCCAAGCAGAUUUCCUUAAAUAGGAUGUUCCCUCCUCCUCUCUCUCUCCCUCCCCACCCCCCACCUCUUGGCAACAAUGCCGUUUAUGUGAAUAAUACUAGGAAACAUAGUAUGUCAUGAGCUAAAAGGCAAAGUCAUCAUGGCUGAAUUUCGAAUUGAAUUUUAAAAUCCUUGGCUGACGAUAUAUUAGAUGGAAGAGAUUAAACCUGCAACGGGAUGUUGAAUCUAGGCUGCUCACUGUGCCCCUCCACUUGACACCAUUCCCUCUUCCCCUGGAUUCCAAUUUUUUGCCUGCAACAAAAGAAAAUUCAGGGCAGAUAAAAGAAAGUAACAUCUUCAUGUAGUGAAUAGUUACUGUGAAGCUCACUCCUAUAGGAGGCCACCAACUUAGAUGGCUUUAAAAGAAUAUUGAUAGGGUGAAGCAAAGGGGAGGAUUUUUUUUAAAAAAAAACAAAACACCAUGGAAAAUGGAACGGGAAGUUGAUCAAACAAAAGAAAAAAUAUUAUGUAUUAGAAUGCCUAUGUGAAACUUGUGGAAAUCUAAUGAAUGAUAGAUGAUAGAUAGAUGAUAGAUGAUAGAUAGAUAGAUGAUAGAUGAUGAUGAUGAUAGAGAGAUGAUAGAGAGAUGAUAGAUAGAUAGAUAGAUAGAUAGAUAGAUAGAUAUACCGUAGAUACAGUGGUACUUCGGGUUAAGAACUUAAUUCGUUCCAGAGGUGUGUUCUUAACCUUAGGUACCACUUUAGCUAAUGGGGCCUCCUGCUGCCACUGGCGCGCAAUUUCCAUUCUUGUCCUGGGGCAAAGUUCUUAACCCGAGGUACUAUUUCUGGAGUCUGUAACUUGAAGCGUCUGUAACCUGAAGCGUCUGUAACCUGAAGCGUCUGUAACCCGAGGUACCACUGUAGGUAGAUAGAUAGAACGACAGAUAUAGAAUGAGUAUUGCAUAAAGCAUGAUGGAUCUGCUCUGCCUUCACAGUUGGAGGCAACAAUGCUUCUGAAGACCAGUUGCUGGAAACCGCAGGAGGGACCCCCUCUUUCCAUAUGAACCUACCUGGACCCCAAGAUCAUCUUCUGAUGCCCUUCUUUGUGUGCCUCCUCCCUGAGAGGUCUGGAGGGUGACAACACAAUGACGGGGCCUUCUCUGCAGUGGCUUCCCAUCUGUGGAAUGCUCUCCCUAGGGAAGUUUGCCUAGUGCCUUCAUUAUACACCUUUAGGCGCCAGGCAAAAAUGUUCCUUUUUAACCAGGCCUUUGGUUGACUUGAUUGACAUCCUAGGCCCAUUUAAAAAUGAUGCUCUUUUUUGGGGGGGUGUUAUUGGGUUAUUGUUUUUAUUUUAAUUUUAUAUAUUGUGAUCUUUUCUGUGAACUGCCCUGAGACCUCUGGGUAUAGGGCGGUAUAUAAAUUUAAUACUACUACUACUACUACUACUACUACUACUACUAAUGCACUUGUACUAGGGUCCUGCUUGCUCCUUUCCCACUGGCAUGUGGGUGGCCAUUGUUAGAACAAGUUGGUGGAAUAGAUGGCCUAUUGACCUGACCAUCAGGGCUUUUUAAUGUUCUUAUGUUAAUAAUCAGUCAACAUCCCAUGGCCCCUGAGUCCUCACAAUCCUCACUGCACUGUUCUAGAUUCCCUCUCACAUAGGUUUUCCUCCCCAUAAUGUUGGGGUUCCAUCAAACCUGCUACUGAGACCAAUAGGGACGCGGGUGGUCCUGUGGUUUAAACCACUGAGCCUCUUGGGCUUGCUGAUCGGAAGGUCAGCGGUUCAAAUCCCCGUGACGGGGUGAGCUCCCAUUGCUCUGUCCCAGCUCCUGCCAACCUAGCAGUUCGAAAGCAAACCAGUGCAAGCAGAUAAAUACCGUAAUUUUCGCUCCAAAACACGCACUUUUUUGCUCCUAGAAAGUAAGGGAAAAUGCCUGUGCGUGUUACAGAGCGAAUGCACUCGACCGGAGCCAUGGCUGCCGUCAGUCAAGCAAAGCGGGAGCCGCUUGCAGGGCUUUGCACGGCUCUAGCUUUGCUUGCUUUACAGCCAGGAGGAGGGAGAGGGGCUGAGGAGGAGGGAGGGAAGGAGAGCCAUGGCAGUAAAGCGGGCAGCAGCGCUUACAUGGGAGGAGGGACAGACGGGAGCCAUAGCGAGCCGGAAAAGCGCCGUGUAGCCAGCAACAGCUGCUGCAGCCUCAGCUAGCAACGCUCUCUAAACGGAGCAAUGAGGCUGCAGAGGGACGGCAGGGCAGAGGAGGGCUCUGAGCCACGAGCGCAGAGAAAACCAGUAAAAAAGUUUUUUAAAAGGCUGCUGGGGACAGGAGGGCACGGGGUGAGGGAGAGGGGGAAAUUACGAUUCUCCCAGCGUCUCAGCUGAUCCGCUGAGCAGGACUUGGGUUGCAGGGGAUUCGCCAUUAGCUGCGUAAAGCAGCAAAGAGGCAGAGAAGGAGCAAAGUGGGAGAGGAAAGGAGCUGUUUACACUGCUGUAAGUGGCUGCUGUCCGGUUGGCUCCUUUAAAGCAACAGUGCUCUUUCCCUCCCCCCUCCCCGCUCAGCUCGCCGAAAAGCUCCUUUUCCACACACCCCACGCGAGCCCCUUCUCCCCUUAAACCCCUCUCCUGCAUCAUUAGCAGCAUCCUUCUCCACACACCCCACGCGAGCUCCUUCUCCCCUUAAACCCCUCUCCUGCAUCAUUAGCAGCAUCCUUCUCUAUACACCCCACGCGUGUUCCUUCUCCCCUUAAAUCCCUCUCCUGCAUCAUUAGCAGCAUCCUUCUCCACACACCCCACGCGUGUUCCUUCUCCCCUUAAACCCCUCACCUGCAUCAUUAGCAGCAUCCUUCUCCACACACCCCACGCGUGUUCCUUCUCCCCUUAAACCCCUCUCCUGCAUUAUUAGCAGCAUCCUUCUCCACACACCCCACGCGUGCUCCUUGUCCCUUGAAUGCUUUUCCUUCCCUCCCCACUUAAAACGUGGUUACAAAGCACGGAUCCACAUGGAUCCUCAGGAUUUUUGCACUGGGUCACCCCAAGUUCACCAUCAGAUCACAUAGCAUAUCCAUGGCUACAGCCUGCACCAAAACACACACCCACCCACUGUUUCAUGGGGCUGCAAUUGCGCAAAAACGUGGUUACAAAGCAUGGAUCCACAUGGAUCCUCAGGAUUUUUGCAUUGGGCUACCCCAAACUCACCGUCAGAUCACGUCUGUGGCCACAGCAUGAACCACAAAAAUCAUACAUCCACUGUUUCGUUUAGAAUAUUUUUUUCUUGUUUUCCUCCUCUAAAAACUACGUGUGUGUUAUGGUCAGGUGCGUGUUAUAGAGCGAAAAAUAUGGUAAGUACUGCUGUGGCAGGAAGGUUAAGUGUUUCCAUGCACUCUGGCUUCCAUCAUGGUGUCCCAUUGCACCAGAAGCGGUUUAGUCCUGCUGGCCACAUGACCCAGAAAGCUGUCUGUGGACAAACACUGGCUCCCUCAGCCUGAAAGCGAGAUGAGUGCCACAACCCCAUAGUUGCCUUUGACUGGGCUUAACGGUCCAGGGGUCCUUUACCUUUUACUUUUACUACUGAGACCUUUUUCUUGUGCAUGGCAUCAUUUUCACCGCAAUAAGGAUUCAUACUGGAACAAUGGAAGUAGAAGGGCUGAUAUCAGCAACAUGGCAACAGGUUACGUUCAUUGUUAAUGUAUGUUACCUAGAAAUGUUAGAAACAUGGAUGACUUUGGGUCAUAUAUAUUUUUUAAGGCAUUUCAUUGCUGAUGCUUCUUGGUCAAUUUCCCUUUGAACCUUUCCAAAUCCUAGGGCUUACCAGUAAAUGUCAGCUUCUCCACACAAUAAUGUUUUGACUAGCUGAAUGCUGAGGUGAGCUUCCACAGUAAAGGUGAAGAAUAAUCAAAUUAAAUGCCCUAGGGGCUUAUCAGCAAAGGGCAGUAUAUAAGUCAGAAGCAUAGAUGAUUGCGUAUGUUUUGGUUUAUCUUAGUUUCUCUCUCUCCCUCCCCAACCCCCAGUCAAAUUCAGUUUGCAACAUGGCUGCAGCAACUUGAUUUCUUAAAAAAAAGUCCUCAUGUAAAUUCACCAGCAUUUUAGUUUGCAUUUUCUCUAAAAUACCCAUUUUUGGACGUGAUCCUGCCUAACAUGCACAUUUUGCAAGCAGUUUGCCCUAAUUUAAUGCAUCUUUGUGCACAUUUUGGAUAGGAGAACUGCGUUGCAAAAUCUAAAGAAGUGCAAAUUUCAAAAGUAAGCUGUGUUUGCUUAUUAUCUUAUGCUUAUUAUCCUAGGAAGUGCAAAUUAAGCUGCUUUGCAUUAAGAUGCAAACGAAACCAAAUUCCUACCCUAUGCUUAUUCAAUGACACUCAUGGAGAAAAUUAUCUAGCUGAUUUGUUUGAUUGUUUCUAGGGCUGCAAGCUCUGACUAGAAUGGUUGAAAGAUUAAUUGACCAAAGCUUAAUCAGUGGGGAUGAGAGUUAACCGAUGCAGGCAAAUUUUAAUAACACUGGUUAAAGGUGUGCUAUUUAUUAUUAUUUUAGGCAGGCUACUGGAACACUGAAUGAAAAAUAAAAUAGUCCCCCUUUCAUACCCGGAAAAGGGCCUCUAUACUGAUAUUUGGGUAAAUAUGUGUACAUUUCCAAAUUUAAUCAAUCAGCUAAGAGCAGAUAACAUUUUAAAAAGAUAUAAAAUCUGUUUGGCAGCCCUAAUUAUUUCCUAUAAAUGCUCAGUGUAAGUGGAGGAAGGUCUUUCCUCCUUCCAUUAGGGCACUGCAGACAGUUAUGCUCUGAGAGUGAAUGCAAUGGAUGGGGUGGAGUUAUACUCCUUCUAAGUGUCAUGGUCAAACUGACUGUCAAUUUUGGGGUUCAGAAGGACAACUCUCUAGGUCAAAUAGGCUAGUUAUUCCAUGGGUUCUGAGGGGGAGGCUCCUAUUUGGCGUUCUUCAUUAUUAUUUAUUUAGUUAUUGCUUGUUCUCUUCUUCCUCAUUUAAUCCCCAAAGCAACCCUGUGGAGGUAGGUUAGGCUGAGAUGCAGUCCCUGGCCCCGUGAGCUUCAUGGUCGAGUGGGGAUUUGAACCCUGGGAUACAAGUCUUACACUCUAACCACUACAGCACACUGUUUUUUCAUCAUCUUCAUCUUCUUUCAUUGGGUGCCUCUUGGUCUUCACAUCAAACUGAAGCCAGUUAUCAAUUGGCGAAUGUAAAUGAAGUUGAAUUCUAAUAACAAGAAAUUAGCAAAGGUCCCUUGCUGAUGAAAAGUCAGUCUAUUUUGGGCGGAAUGUGUGGGCAAAUCAGUUCUGAGGUAGAAGCAGAAUCAGUGAUGGGGGCAGCUUGAGAUAUAAUUACGGUACCAUGGAGAUAACAUUUGUAUCUCAUUUGAAGCUGGCUGGCCCCAGACAUAAUAUUUUGGCAGGCAGGCAGGCAGGCAGGCAGGCAAGCAGUCUGUGCAUGUGUGUGUGUGUGUGUGUGUGUGUGUGUGUGUGUGUGUGAGAGAGAGAGAGAGAGAGAGACCUGUAAUGCUCAUACUAAGGAGCUAACAUUUUAUAGGCAGUGGAUUCAGCCUCUUCUUCACACAAUGCACACUCACUUUGUGGAAUUUGCCACCACAAUAUGUGAUAAUGGAGCUGUUAGACAAAAUGGCUUUAGGAGAGGGUUAGACAAAUGCAUGGCAGAUAUCAAUCGUUGCUGGUCAUAAUGGCUUUGCACUUCCUACACUGUCAGAGUUAGUGUGCCCCUGAAUACCAGUUGCUGGAAAUCACAGGUGGGGUGUGUGCUGUUGUGUUCAGGUCCUGCUUUGAGGCCUCCCUGGUUACCACUGAAAGGACAGGAUGCUGGGUUAGGUGGGUCUUGGGUCCGAUCCACUAGGCUGUCUCUUCUUAGGUUCUUAUGUUAUUUAGGAUUAAUCUAGGGAUGGGGAACCUGUGGCCAUUCAGCAGUUCUCCACCUCCCAUAUUCCCUGACCAUUGACCACUGCUGGGAACUGGAGUCCAGUGGCAUCUUGAAGACCACAGCUUGCCCACCCCGAAUUAGGCAGAUUCAUGAGUUCUGCCAAUGGCAAUAAACCAUAAGCCUCCAUUCUCAGAAGCACUAUGCUACUGAAAACCAGUUGCUGUCUGGUUUCCCUUAACAGGGCUACUGCAAGGCUGGGAUUCUCCAUCAGCUGGUGAGGUAGGGCAGCUGUCCAGAGGGGCAAGGUGCUAGUUUUUGUGCACACAUGCUGAUACCAGCAGUGAGCUAUCCAGUUGCACAACUUGUGCUGAAGAGGAAUUCCAACGACAAGGCUGCCCAAUUUCCCCAUUGCUGUUUAUUUCGGUCCUGGAGGUUUUGCUAAAUAUGAUCAGAAGGGACCGACUGAUUAAAGGUAUACAGGUCGGAGCUAAACAGUACAAAUUGAAAGCUUUUGCAGACGAUUUAGUAUUGACAUUACAGGAGCCAGAAUCUAGUACUAAAAGAGUAUUAGAAUUGAUUCAGGAAUUUGGUCAUGUGGCAGGAUUUAAGUUGAACAAGUUAAAAACUAAGGUGCUUGAGAAAAAUUUAACACUGAUUGAGAAAGAGAGGUUUCAAGAAGGAGACAGGUUUAACAUUGGUUAAGAAAGUAAAAUACCUGGGGGUUAACAUGACUGCUAAGAAUUUAAAUCUAUUUAAAGACAAUUAUGAGAAAUGUUGGUCAGAAGUGAAAAAGGAUUUAGAGAUAUGGUCAAACAUGAAGCUUUCCUUGUUAGGUCGAAUUGCUGUUAUAAAGAUGAAUGUAUUGCCAAGAAUGUUAUUUUUGUUUCAAUCAUUGCAAAUAUUGGACAAAAUGGACUGUUUCAAGAAGUGGCAGAGAGACAUUUCUAGAUUUGUCUGGCAGGGCAAGAAGCCCAGAAUAAAAUUUAAAAUAUUAACCGACGCAAAGGAUAGAGGUGGAUUUGCCCUGCCAGACCUUAAACUUUAUUAUGAAUCAGCAGCAUUCUGCUGGUUGAAAGAAUGGCUGCUUCUUGAGAACACAGACAUUUUGGAUUUAGAAGGUUUUAAUAAUGUUUUUGGGUGGCAUGCAUAUUUGUGGUAUGACAAGGUUAAAGCACAUAAAGCAUUUAAAAACCAUAUUGUCAGGAAAGCAUUGUUAAAUGUCUGGAUAAGAUAUAAGGACUUACUUGAAACCAAACCCCAAGGUGGUUGUCACCGAUGGAAGCAAAGGCUCAGAAAAGGCUCAAUAUGGAGGCCAAAUGGCCGAAAUAUUGGGAAAUUUUGGAACAAGAAGGAGACAAAUUGAAAUUGCAGAGUUUUGAGAAAUUAAAAGACAAAGUGCGAGACUGGCUUCGUUAUUAUCAGAUAAUGGAGGCAUACAAUUUGGAUAAGAAAAUUGGCUUCCAGGUGGAAAAAUCAAAAUUGGAAACAGAACUGUUAGAACCCAAAACUAAGAUUUUGUCAAAAAUGUAUAACUUGCUGUUGAAAUGGAAUACUCAGGAUGAAACGGUGAAAUCUGCUAUGAUUAAAUGGGCACAAGAUCUUGGUCAUAAUAUUAUGUUUGCUGACUGGGAACAGUUGUGGACCACAGGUAUGAAAUUUACGGCAUGUAAUGCCCUAAGAGAGAAUAUUAUGAAAAUGAUACACAGGUGGUACAUGACACCAGUCAAGCUUGCAAAAAUCUACCAUUCGCCCGAUAAUAAAUGUUGGAAAUGUAAAGAAAAUGAAGGUACAUUCUUUCACCUUUGGUGUACGUGCCCAAGGAUCAAGGCUUUCUGGGAGAUGAUAUAUAAUGAAUUGAAAAAGGUAUUUAAAUAUACCUUUUUGAAGAAACCAGAAGCCUUUCUCCUAGGCAUAGUCGGCCAAUUGGUGCCAAAGAAGGACAGAACUUUUUUUAUGUAUGCCACAACAGCAGCAAGAAUACUCAUUGCAAAGUAUUGGAAGACACAAGAUCUACCCACCUUGGAAGAAUGGCAGAUGAAGGUGAUGGACUAUAUGGAACUGGCGGAAAUGACUGGCAGAAUCCGAGACCAGGGAGAAGAGUCGAUGGAAGAAGAUUGGAAAAAGUUUAAAGACUAUUUACAGAAACAUUGCAAAAUUAAUGAAUGUUAGAAUGAUGUUGGAUAGAAACUAAGUGGUCUUUAGCUGAAAUGUUAUAAGGGAAUAUGAAAAAUGGUUUAUUAAUAGGUAAAAAUCUAAAAUUACAAUAUUUUAUGAUUAAUGAUUAGGAUACAUAAAGAGGGGAGGGAUUUGUUGAACUAAUAACUGAACUGGAAUACAAAAAAGGGAGGUGUGAGGAGGUCCUGGAAAUAAGCAAAUGAAGGCUAAGCAAUGGAAGGAAUGAAUUGCUUUUAACUAUUUUUACUUUGUAUUUUCUCUUUUUUCUUUUUCUUUUUGUUUUGUAAUACUUUGAAAAUCUUAAUAAAUAUCUUAAAAUAAUAAUAAUAAUGAAGAGGAAUUCCAAAAAGAUAAGAAGGGCUCUGGUGGAUCAUGCCAGGGGCUCAUCUUGCUCAGCACCCUGUUGUCACAGUGGCCAGCCAGACGCUUCUGAGAUGCCUGCAAGCAGGCCAUGAGCGCAAUAGCCUUCUCCCUUCCUGCAGUUGGUAUUCGGGAGCACACUACCUCUGACAGUGGAGGGUAAACAGAGUCAUUGAUUUAUUUCUUUGUUGCAUUUCUAUCUCACCUUUUUCUCCAAGGAGCUCAAAAUGGCAUUCAUGGUUCUCUCCCUCCUCAUUUUAUCCCCCACGGCAACCCCUUGAGGCUGUCCCACUGUGAGCUUCAUGGCUGAGUGGAGAUUUGAAGCCUGGUCUCUAACCAUUACCUCUCAAUAUGCACUCUGGCGCCAUUUUGUUUUCAUUUCGUCUGUCCUGAAUCCUUCAACAUUCAGCUUUAUUGAAGGACCCCAGGCUCCACCCUUAUGAGAGAGGGAGGAAAACGUAUUCCUAUAUAUAGUACACAAAAUUUCAUAUACUAUUUUUCAUAUCCCAACCCUAUUACUAGAUUAUUUUGUAAGCUUAAAAGCCCCUGAGGUGGUAAUCUUUCCCCACAGGGGAGUUGCUCUCUGACCCCUUCAUGUUCCACUAGUAAUAGUCAGGCAGCAAACAAAAUGUUUUAUAGCUACCCGUGUUUCCCCAGCAGUUUGUGGAACAUCUGUGAGGCCCCUCUCUGGAGGCCAUUUGACGUUAUGAUGUCUCCUCCUGAGCAGGCCUUUCUGUUGCCAGCCACACAAUUCUGCUCUGGGCUUCAGUUCAGGUGUGUUGUUGACUCUGCCACCUCCACUGCCGGAGGCGAUAUGCCUCUAAACAUCAGUUGCUGGGAAUCACAAGUCAGGAGAGUUGUUGUUGCUCUCGGGUCCUGUUUGCAUGCUUCCCAUGGGCAUUGGGUUGGCCAUUGCGAGAGCACGAUACUGGACAAGAUGGCCCACAGGCUUGAUGCAGCAGGCUCUUCUUAGGUUCUUCUGUCCUGGGGGAAAUACUAAUAAAAAAAUAAUUUAAUUAUUUAUACCCUGCCCAUCUGGUUGGGUUUCCCCAGCCACUCUGGGUGGCUAACGGCAUAUCUAAAAACAUAAUAAAACAACAAGCCUUAAAAACCUCCCAAUUCAGGGCUACUUUCACAUGUCUUCUAAAAAUUGUAUAAUUCUUUAUCUCCUUGACAUCUGAAGGGAGGGCAUUCCACCACAGGGAGGGCACCACUACCGAGAAGGCCCUCGGGUGAUUUUGGCAAGCCUUUAACUAAUAUUUCUGUGGUUGGUCUGGAUUCAUUGCAUCUCCUGAUUCUGCCGGCUCCCUGGCUGAGUCCUAGCACUGGUGUCCCACCAAGGUUUGUUUAUUCCUCCCGGCCCCUGUAGUUAUUGAGGUUUGUGGUCAGGCCUUCCUCCACCAUCCAGACUAUGCGGUCCAAACUAGGAUAUCAGGACUUUUGUUUCAGACUCUGUCUGAUGGGAAAUGGCAUCAUCUGCGCAGCAGAACAUGGCUUCUGGUUUCAAGGACUACUCGUGGGCUUCUGAGAGAUGUAGUCUGAUCUAGCAGCACCAACCUUACAUUUUAAUUAGCCACGAUAGGAAUAGAAACCUCCAUGUUACAGGCGCAGUAUAUUGCAGAAUAUCAGACACUGGAGACAAAGGAGGAAGGCUGUUGCUUUCAAGCCCUGUUUGUUGGCUCUUGACUGGUCACCAUGAUUGUUGGACAUCUGAUAGGUCACUGUGAGAAAUAGGGCACAGGGCUAGAUGGACCCUUGAUUUAAUCCAGCAGGGCCUCUCCUCCUCCCAGAGGGGAGGGGUUGUGAGCGGGAGCAGCUUCCCACAGGGGUAGGAAGGCGUACUCAGCUCCCUGCUCCUGAUAUCUUCUGCUGCCGUGGCCAAACCUUUCAGCUGGCCAACAGGGCCGGCUGGUGGGUGGUGCUAGCCACAUUUAAACAGCUGUGGCAGUGCUCAGCUCCCAGUCUGUUCCUGCUUUCUUCGGAUCUCCCUCCCUCCCUCCCUCCCUCUUAGGUCAGCUUCUUUUGCAUAUUGACCUUGCUAUGGACUUCAGAUGGUUGCCUUGGUUGCCCAAGGGGCCUGGUAGGACUUUUUUUAUCCAUUUGGCAAAUUGGCACCAGCCUCUCGUUUUUUUCGCCUACCUCAUAGCAAUUUGUCACAACUUUCUGGUAUUGGAAGUUUGGCAUUGGAAUAUGUGUGCUGUGUUGGAGGAUUGGGUAUGGGCCAUCAUCUACCCCUCCUCUUUUGGGUAUUCUGCUAAAGGAAUCCUGCGAUCGUGGAUCCUGUUCAAUGCCCUGCUGGUGGCUAGGGCCAUGGCACGACCCCUGGUGACAUCAUGGGGGAACUUCCAGAUGUAUUUGCAUCAACAAGCUCCUCCCAUUGGUUGUUAACCCUGAUAUGACUCCCUGCUGAGUGGGGUGGAGUCUUGUAUUGCUGUUUCAUCCAGUGCCUAAGCGAAUACUACUCACAUGCUGUAACCAAUAAAAGUUGUGGCCUAAUUUUGCCCAUUAACCUAAAAUAAUGUGUCUUUGUGUCUUAUUAUACUCCUAUGCGGGUGGUGGGUCCUCGACUCACAACAUUCUUCUGUGCAACUUGCUCCUGCAGGAGUCAGCAACAGUCAUCUACCUGUAUGGCUUUAAAAGAGGAUUGGACUAUUUGUGGAGGAAAAGGCUAUCAGGGCUGCUAACCACGGGGGCUAUGCUCUGCCUCCACAAUUGGGAGUGUGGAUGCUUCUGCAUACCAGUCACUGGAAGCCACAGGAGGGGCGAGGACUCUUGUGCUCAGGUCCUGCUUGUGGGUUUCCCACAGGCAUCUAGUUGGCUACUGUGUCGAUGCUGGACUAGACAGGCCACUGUCCUGAUCAGCAGGCUCUGCUUAUGUUCUUAUUCUCCUAAUGCAUAGGAGUCUUUAGGAAAACAAACACUACAUAGUAUUCCCAGUGCCCAAGCCUGAAAUAUAGUUUUUUACCAUCUUCAGUCUGGAAAAUAAUUAUUUUUAAAAUUAUCCAUGCGCAACCAACACACACAUCCCUGCUGUGAGCCAAAAUCAUGCAAACAGGUCACCAUGCACUUGAUUUUUAUAGAUUGCAAUGCUUUAAGAUUUUGUAGACCAUGACAAUCGCACAGGCCGGGCUGUGCAUGCACUAAACACCAGCUGAUGUAUCUUGGUGGGAGGCGGAAUGUGCCUGCAGGUUGCGUGAGGGUGGGCUGCGAGGCUGCGAUGCGUGGCCUCACCCUGUGAAUGUGAACAGGUGGUGGUUUGGUGUUUAAUAAUGUAGACUUGAGGAAUGUUCGGGACCUGCGCAAUAUAAAAAGAACAAUCAGAAUAUGCUAUUAUGGGUGCUGGAAUCUCAUUUAAAACCUAAUUAGGUCUAGUACAAAGCUAGAGUAGGCUUGUCUUGGGAUAAAGAGAUUGAUGUGUCUGCAUGAAAUGUGUGGUGCCUAUUCAUUCCUCUUCUCGUGAAAGAAUAAUAAUAAAAAAUAAGGUUUGUUAAGGAAGCAGCAUUUCUUUUUGUUAACUCUUCGUUUGUGUAUUGCCACUGUUUUGUGUGCUUCUGUGCCUCUUGAUGAAAAGGAUAAUUGUAUUUGUCUAGUUUUUUCUUCCUCCUAAGCAAGAGGCACCCAAAGUGCUGCCAUCCAGAAAUUUUGGAUUCUAGCCCCCAUAAGGUCAGAGAUCAUGAGGGUCAGCAGUGGUGAUGAUGAAGGAUCGCAGUGGAAGAGCAUCUGCCUUGCAUGGAGAAGACCCCAGGUUCAAUCCCUAGCAUCUCCAGGUAAGGCUGGGGGUGUUCCCUGCCUGGGGAGCAGCUGUCAGCCAGUGCCAACAACACAGAUUUACCAAUGGUCAGACUUGGUACAAGGCAGUAUCCGAUGUAGUCGCAGGUUCCCCACCCCCGUUCUACAGGGAGGACAAGGCUAUAGCAAUGGAACAUAGGAAACUGCUUUAGAUGGACUCCAUCAGGCUCAUAGCUGUCAACCUUCCCUUUUCUUGCAGGAAAUUCCCUUAUGUCAGCGCCGUUUCCCGCUGCUUCCCAUGGCUAUCCCGGAUUGUUAGAUAUCCCGUAGACUGUCUCUGGGACAGGUGAAGCUGCUGAUCCCUUAUUUUCAAAUCUGAAAGUUGACAGCUAUGAUCAGGCUACCCCUGUGGGGGUGACCUUAGGCAUAACUCUUUGCUAUGUUCAUUUGCCUACUAUAGGACUAGAACAGUGUUUCCCAAAUUGGGCCUCCAGCUCUUUUUGGACCACAGUUCCCAUAAUACAUGACCACUGGUCCUGCCAACUAGAGACGAUGGGAGUUGUAGUCCAACAACAGCUGCAGACCCAAGUUUGGGAAACAAUGGAUUAGGUAGACCAAUAAUCCAGGUAAGUAUUUUACUUUCCUUUUGGUUAUGCAUACUGGGUGGUAGCCAACUAGGUUUUACUUAGAGUAGACCUACUGAAGUGAAUGGACUGAACUCAGUCAUGCUCAUCAAUUUCAAUGGGUAUGCUCUUGAUUAAAACCUAGUUGAACACCACCUACUGUUUCCCCCAUUUUCCUCUUUUUAGCCUUUGCCCUAAAUAAACCUUUUGAUUUGGUUUUUGAGCCUUCACUGGUUUAGGAACACCAGAACAUGAGAAGUUGCUUUAGACCAAGUCAGACAUUGGGUCCCCCUAGUCCAGUAUUGUCUGCACUGACUGGCAGCUCUCCAGUGCUUCAGGCAGAGGCUCUCCCAGCCCUACCUGCAGAAGCUGGGGAUCGAUCCUGGGACCUUCUGCAUGCAAGGCAGAUGUCCAAUCAUCUAUCUAUGGGAGUCACUGGCCCUCUCCAUCAAUUGCCCAGGAGCCCCGGGGUGCCUGGAAACCAACCUGCAUCCUUCGCAGAUGAGUUGUGCAUCUUCCAGGUCAUGCUCUCAAAGCCUCUGGGUGCUGAAUGAGGCCCAGAGACCUCUUUUCACGUCAUUCCUUCCUAUUGCAUGCUGUAAUGAUAGAAGUUAGCCCCCUCUCUCCCACCACUAGGUGGCGCUGUGCUCAGAUCUAGCCAGCCCUCUUGUGUGCUCAGUUUCAACAGAGGCAGACAGGCAAUCAAUCUUUGAGUCUAAUGGCAUCUUGAGCAGUAUUUCUUUAUGGAUUGAAACAGUUAAGAUACCCAAUUAAUUAACAAUGAUAACAAUGAAUAAACAAAGUCACCAAAGAACCCAACCCGAAAUCACUGUUGGUUACAUGACAAGGAUGUCAGUUAUUUGCCACUAAUUGGAUCACAGUCUCUUGUCAGAGCAGGCUCCUUCCAGGUCUGUUACUAUGCACCCACUUUCCCUCAUCUCAGCUGCACACUCUUCCCUUCCCCUCCCUCCUCUCCCUCAGGUCUCUCUUUGCCAGCCGACUUUUAUUCCCCUUGAUGUUUCCCUUCAUGCUAAACUUCUCACUCACCCCACAUUCUGCAACGCCACUGAAGUGAGCAUUACAGCUGUACAGGCAAGCACAGUUUUCUCUUUUCUUUCUGUCCUCUUCAUCAUUCAGCUCCCAAUACGUGCAUGGUGCAGAAUGCCCCGGUUCAAUCCCUGGCAUCUCCAGGUAAGGCUAGCAGAUAUCACUGCCUGAAACCCUGGGGAGCUGCUGCCAGUCAGUGUAGGCAAUAUUGAGCUGGAUGUACUAAUGUUUAGUGGGCUCAUGCAAUGAAGAGCUGGUGUGGUACAGUGGUUAAAGUUUGCGAGACCAUGGUUCAAAUCCUCACUCAGCUAUGAACUUCACCUUGGACCAGUCGCUGCCUCUUGGCCUAACCUACCCCACAGGGUUGUCAUGGGGAUUAAAUGAGAAUGAGGGGAACCAUGCAUGUCUCCUUAAGCCCCUUGAAGGUGGACCAUAAACACCAAAGAUGCACCUCUUUGUCCUUUGACACCUGAGGUAUAUAUGUUCAGGCAUACGCCUUGUGAUUGUGAUUUCUUUUAAGCUGUUUUUGAUGUUGUACUUUAAAUGGUUGUGACUUGCUCUGGGAUACUAGGGCCACUAAAUGGGUUUAAAGGAAGCUACUGUUUCUAGGCUGCCCCUUCUAACAGGAGGGCAGACUGAAACGUUAUUUUGUGCCUCAAAGCUGCUACCUUUUAAAUUAUAGCCCUUCUCUGGGGAUGUGGAGGAGAAUCUGCUUGCCAGUGCAGCUAGUGUUGACUACAGCACUAUUUUGCUCUCUUUAUUUCAUUGUGUAAUCUGGUUUACCAAGUUAACCCCUCCCCCUUUCCUAAAGUAUCAGGGUCAGGAGAGGGUUAAGGAUCCCAGGAUGCCACAUUGGAAGAAGAACACUGGCAAAUGAGAGGGCUUCAAUGCAAGGGGCAUGCAAGGUCAUAAGGAGAUCCAAAAAGGUGCAACCAGGAAGUGAGGCAUCUCAAUGAGAUGCAAUUAUAUUUCAAGCCUCAUCUGGAGGACUGUGUCCAGUUCUGGAUACCACUUUUAAGAAUGGCAUUUGCAAACUGUUGCAUGUCCUGAAGAGGGCAGCUAGGAUGGUGAAGGGUCUGUCUGGAAAACCAAGUCCUAUGAAGAAAAGUGGAAUGAGCUGGGUGUAGGUUUAGCUUGAAGAAGAAAAAAUUAAGGGGAGACAUGACAGCUGUCUUCAAAUAUCUGUUGGGCUGUCAUACAGAAGAUGGAGGAGGCUUGUCACUGGUUGCUCCAGAGGGCAGAACUAGAAUUAAUGAGAGGAAAUUGCAAGGAAGCAGUUUCUAGGUAAUCAUUAGGAGAAACUACCUAACAAUAAGCUCUCUUUGGCAGGGGGAGAUGCUCCCUUGCGAGGUGAUGGGAUUAUCUUUGCUGGAGGUACUUAGGCAGAGGCUGAACUGGCAAUCUUCCAGGGAUGUUGUAGUUGGGAAGGAACAUGGGAAAGUUCAUGACUCGGUGCAUUUAUCUCUGUAUUGUCUUUACUGGCUGGGAGUGGCUCUCUAGGAUUUCAGGCAGGAGGUCUGUCCCAGCCCUAACUGGAGAUGCUGUUGAUUGAAACUAGGACCUUCUGCAUGCAGAGCAGAUGCUCUACCUAUGGCUAUGGCCCUUCUCUAAUAGAUGGCAGGAAGCACCUUACAGUAACCAGCAUUUCACUGUUUUAAAGGGGGGGGGGGAAAUGACAUGAUAUUUCUUGAGCUAUCACCUGGCUAGUUUUGAGGUUCAACUAAGUAGCUAACCUGAGAUAUCUCAUCAAUUCCAGGACCACAAAAGGCUUUGCACUUGCUCUCUUUCCUUUAAAUAAGCAUCACAAGCCACACCUUUAUACCAAAUCAGACAGGAUUCUCUCCCAGCCUUACCUGGGGAUGCUGGGACCUAUGACAUGCAAAAGAGAUGGUGUAUGGAUGAGCUACGGCUGUUUCCUCUAGUUGCAUCCUGCACUGCAGAUCCUGCAUUGAGCAGAGGGUUUCACUGUGUGACGUCUGAGGCUUCCAACUUUAAAUUUCUAUUAUUCAGGAGACAUUAAGCUGGCUGGAAGCUGAUAUACAUCCUGGCUUAGGGCUUACAUAUGUUCCUGUUUAAUGGAAUAACAACACAGCUCCCCCACAACCACUAAGGCCGCCAAAACUAAUCUGUAGCAUUUUUUUUAAAAGCCUAUGCUAAAAUAUAAUUACUUAAGGCGUUUUAGGAGCAAACAUUGCUUUUUCUUCUUCUUUUCACCCCCAGGCUUUGCCUACCCAUCUGGGUUUGCUUGGAUGGACAGAAUCAAGGCUGUGGUUGAUUUGUUUCUCCCUUAGAACUGCCCAACUUCAGUUUGAUGCACGCUUGACUUCCCCCACAUGCUGGAGGAGCCAAGAUGUGUCAAGAACAAGGAAUUGCUUUUGUAUGAAAAGGAGUUUCUCUUGUGCAGGUCUUGAAAUGCAUUUUAUAUAGAUAAAUCUGGGUGUCUCCAUUUGAACCAGGAUGACCUAUAAUGAACAACACAUCCCACCUAUAAACCUCACUGAAAACAAGAAGGGGAGGAGCUUUCCUCAGCCCAAGGGCCACAAUAUCUUCUGGGGGGGUCACAUGCCAGUGGGAGGCAGGUCCGAAGGCAGUCAUGUGGGAGAGCAGCAAGUCUUGUUGUUCUGUACCUGCUUUCACCAGCAGAUCACAGGGUGGAUUGCAGCAGUCUAAAAUUCAGUAUUAAAAACAUUUAAAACAAAUUAGUCACAGGAAUUGGGACGGCCCAGAAAACACACACCUCAGAUUUCAAAUAUCAGGGUAAAGAGACACGUCUUCAACAUUUGUCAUAAGUUAUAUAGCGAGGGUACCUGAUGCACCUCUGCGGAGAGGGAAUUCCACAACUCAGGAGGAGGAGGGCCUCUCCUGGGCCACUGCACUUCUGAGGGUGAUGGAACUACUAAGAGGCCCCCACCUCUGCUGACCUUAACACCCCCAUCAACCCCAGUCUCCCCUUGGCCAGUCCCUCACCUGCCUGCCUUUCUGCAGCCAGCCCAGGCAGGUGGCACUUCCUGCCACCUACCUCCUCCUCCUCCUCACGCUUGGUCUAUUGACUCCAUGGGUCUACUCUGAGAAUGACUAAUGGUGGAAAUGCCAAUUUUAAAAACCAUUUAUUUAUGACCAAGAUGGGGAACCUCUAGUCUGAGGGCUGAGGGUGGCCUUCCAGGAGUCUCCCGAGGCUAAGUACUUCACUGGCCAAGGAGGAGAUCAUCUGGCAGUGGGAGGCUGUGGCAUGAUGAGUGGGUUUGUGCCUUGAAGGUCUCCAUGGCUGGAGGCUGGCUGAUGUCUGGCGAUGGACCUGGUGGAAGCUGGCAAAUGUUGGGAAAUAGAAGCCAGUAGCAUUCACAUUUGGAUAAUGGUGGACACUGCAAUUCCUGAAACAGACUGUUGUUUGGGAUGUAAGCAGGUUCAAACUCAGCUUUGGAAGCCCGUUGACAGAAACUGUGUGGAUAUUUGUGGACUGAAGCUGGGGGCAUAUACGUGUGUGAAUGGAGAGCGGCUGAUGAGUGAAUGUGUCUCCAUGUGUGAAUGGGAGGUUUUGAAUGCUGUUGAGGCGAAUGGUAUGUGUCUGGAUGCAUUGGACUGGCAUAGGUAGCCCACCAGAUGUGACAUUCCUGGGAAUUAUGUGACAGGAGCCAGCUCCAGGUACAGGGUAGAAGGAUGAACCAGCCCAGUGGCUAUUCAAAGGUGGAAGCCAGUGGAAGUUGGCAGGCUGAACUCAGGAAUGAAACUGCCAGGCAGAUGCCAGUGAAAGUCCCUGAUGAUAUUGUUGGGUGGUAGCCCUCCCUGUCCCUGCAUUUGCCAUGGGAGAUCUAGCAUCCCAGUUCUCUGGAGCAACCCUCCCUAGUGCACACGAAGGGUGGACUACAAAUGUUUUUAAGGAGCAACCCCAGCCUGAGGAGGCAGCUCAGGGGAACAGCUGAAGACCCAGGAGGGAAAUCUAGGUCUAUUCCCUCCUAUCCACUUGAGUUGCCAACACUUUGUUUUCUUGGGGCUCCUGUGCCUGCCUCACCUCGAUAGCUGACAGAAAAAAAUAAAAAUAAAACAACAAUUGAUUUUGUCACUCGGAACCCAACAUCACCAAUAAACUUGUAAGGACCCCCAGAGGUUAAAAAGACCACUUAGGUGAACUGUGCCUGCUGGCAAUUAUUCCCUCAGGAAUAAUUGCUGUCAGCUUUUAGAAGAAAGAGACAAGGUGCUAUGUAGAGGCUCAGCAUGUGAGCUACAAUGAGCCACAGAGACUUGAGUUUUAUUCGCACCUCUGCUCUGAAACUCAAGAAAGAGUUGUGGGGAGGGGGAUAGGCUCUUUCUUCAACUCCCCUCCCUCCCACCCACCUAUUUACAACACCAUCCUUCCUGACACUUCUCUAACCUUUCUGAAAUCCUUUCAGCUGGCAUGGUUUAAUAUUAAGCGUCUGCCCUUCUUCAAGGAAUAUAGGACCCUGACUUGUACCCAUCAAUAUAUGGUGCCCAUGGUGAUCCCAAAGUCCUACUGAGUUGCCAGCACAGUUCCCCAUCCUCCCCACUCCCCAACACUGACAUGGGAUCUGAAGUCUAAAGCUGAGGAAGCUGUUCCAGGCUGUGUACACCCCAUACAUUUAUAGCACAUUUAUAGCACAAGCCAUGAGGGACCACAGAGCAACUAUGUGAAGACAGAUUGGUGAGGGGGCAGGAGCCACGAGGAGAGUCAUGGCAGAGACAGAAAACAGAGGCGCCAUGAGGCGAGAGGUGGAGUCUAAAGUUGGCUCAGCCACAAGGAGAUGAGACUUGUUUCUGGGUAACAAGAGAAGAAGCUGCAUUUGUGUUUAGAUGAGGAGAAUCCCGGGAGAGAGCACCAUGGUCCCGCUUUUAAAGAGUCAUGGUUUCAACUCAAAGAAUCCUAGUUAUACCUGGAUUUUAGGACUUCACACUGGGGACUGUAGUUUGUUAAGGGUGCUGAGGGUUGUUGAGAGGACCCCUAUACAUCUCACAGAGCUUUAACUUCCAGAGUUCCUUGCAAAGAAGGAUUGCCAGUUAAGCAACUCUGAGAAUUGUAGGAUUGAUUGCGAGGAGUUUCAUAGGAUGCUUCACAGAAUGAGAGCAUAAAGGGUAUGUGUGAAUGGCAUCAACCAGCUGACUUGCUCCUCAUGACCAAGAUGCAAAAAAAGAGGAGACAGUUUCAAUGCAGAAUCCAAACCCCCCGUACUUGAGAUUAAGGUAGAGCUUCCAGUGGCUCAAAAAUUUAGUCCAGCCUGAGUAUUAUAAGCCUUGGAAUGAAACCCUUCUCCUAAAUUCUUAGUAGGGCAAACUGUGGUUGCUUGGUGGUGAAAGAAGGAGGCUCUGCUAAUCCAUUUACAUUUUUCUUUCUUUUUAAAAAAGUGGGGCACAGGCCAAAAUGGAAUAGGUGGAAAACAUAAGCCCCCCCCCCCCACCACAACAGUACCUGCAUGGGACACGCCAUGGAAACAAUUCUGUCAAUUUCAGUGGGCUUUGAUUGAAGCGGCAAAAGGUCAUUUUAAUUCGCAGCAGGUUAACGUUUUGAUACCCGAAAGCUCUUCCUGAAUGAAAAUAGUAACAGCCAGAAGAGAUUAUGCUGCUUAUAUUUAUGAUAACCCCAAGCAACCAUUCACAACCCUUGUCCCAUGGAACUGGCAAUGCCUUGAUGCUUCUUAUCUACAGCCCUCUAGAUAAGAGAGACUUUCACCAGUUAGCAUUCUUUCCUGUCAUUGGGGGGUGGGACUUCUCUGCAGAGGUUAUGUCUGUUCAUUCUAGAGCCUAAGGAAAUGUUUCGUCCAUUAUUUUAUUCUUGCACAGCAGGGGCAGAGAACCUGUGGCCCUCCAGCAGUUCUUGGAUUCCAACACCCCUCAGCCCCAGUCAGCAUGGUCCAAUGGUCAUGGAUAAUGGGAGUUGAAGUCCAGUAACAGCUGGAGGGCCACAAGAUCCACAUCUCUGGCUUAGCAGUAUUUGAGCUCACAGUUAGUUGCUUUGUGGGGAGACUUUUUGGUUCAAAAGGUGGGACGCAAUAUUUUAAUUACCAUUUUAAAUGACAUUAGAUCUUUUGAAACUUUGCAAUGUCGUGAUGUACCAUAUUCAACAUUCUGUUCCUCGUCUGAUUUGGAAGAAAGUCGAUACAUUUUAAAUGUCAACAUGGAAAUGAAUUCUGAUCAAAGGAGGGCAAGCUAAAUAGGAACACACGAAGCUUCUACAUACUAUGUCAUAUCGCUGGUGCACUCAUCCCAGCCUUUUCUACUCUUGGCUGGCUGUACCUUUUCAGAGCCUCAGACAGAACGCUCUCUUCCAGUUCUGCCACUUGAGUUCCUUUUAAAUUGAAGGACCUUUUGCAAUGCAAAGCAUGCACUUGAGUUGGCAAUUCCAGCUGUGCCCCUUCCCUGAGGUUAACAAUGAUUCAAUCUUUCCAUAUACUACAGAAAGAGGAGAAAUUAAUUUGGUUCCAGUUUUCAAGUUAACUUGCCCCGUUUUCAUGUCUUGAACUGAAAUGUCACAUAAAAUUCAGCUAUCCUUUGGAAUUCACUCUUCUGAAUUUUCUGAUACAUAUCUUUCUUUUUUUAAGCAUACCAAGAAGAAAGCAUUGGAAGGUUAGUGUAUACUGAAACACACAGGUUUAGUGGAAACAAUGGGCAAAAUGGCACUAGAGGAAAUUGCUUCGUGAGGAAUGUCUGUCUUAGGCAACAUUGCACACAAAAAUGUGCCUAUUAGGAGGAAUACACGUGGAAAUGAAUACACAUUUUCUGUUCAGUUCAUACGUUUAGUGUUCCAUCCAAAGACCAUACAAAACUGUAGCAAUAUUAUUAAUAAAAUAAUACAGAACAUACAUAGCUUGAUUUCAGAUUAAACCUCCGAAUCACCAAAACAACUUAUAGUGAUUUUAUCCAACUCCUUUUUCCUGAUUUUAUUUUAUGCAGCCAGUGUACAGAAGGCCACUCUCUGUAUUACAAAGCUAUUAGUGCCUCUCGAAAGAAACCAAACAAUUUAUGCUGGGGUGUAUCUGCUUGCAUGUGUAAAGUGAACUCUUGGGUCUCUACACAAGGGGCAGCCUAACAGAUAAUGAGUAACGUUUUGUACCUGAGGUUGUCCACAGAUACAAAGUUUGUCUGUGUACAGCCAUCCAAGACUGCAGUGAGCAUCACUUGGAAAUGCAGCCCGAGGAAACUGGUGAAAGUUUGGUCAGAUAACUAGCUGUAAAAUGCCCUGUUCUUGAGAGUGCAUACCAAGGGGGAAAAGCUGUGUUUGUAUUUAGCUGUAGGUCCCUUCUGAGUUCUAUCCAGAAGAGGCAAUCCCUUAGCUGACAUUUAUUCAAGGCCCAAGCAGAGCUCAGUUCUGGAAAUUAGUAAUAGUCUAAAACAACCAACUCUGGUAUCACUCAAUUCCAUAUAGCACAGUGCAGGAAAACACUCAAUGGGCAUAGUAGCAAUUCUUUUAAUAUACUUUAACUGAGUGCAGUCUGCUAUUGCCUUAAUUGUUGGCUACUCAGAUUAAGUAUGAAGAAGAGCUGCUGAUAUUCUUGAUGAUAGAGAGUAUAGCUUCCCAAAAAAGUUAUUCUGCAUUGUUUCCAAAACUUUAAUGGAGUUCAGGACAGAGCUCCAGAUUUCAACAUCGUAGAGUAUUUGACUUAGCACUUUGCUACCAAAUAUAUUUAGGGCAAAGUAAUUCAGAAAUGGAUGAAUGGAAUUUAAGACUGGAAUAAUGAGAAACUGGGCAAAACUGAAAGAGACAAGAUUGUGCUUCCCUACCCGUGCUUACUGUCCCUCUAGUGACGGGUUCUCUUCUCCUGUUCUUUUCUCCUGAACCUAAAGAUAAGAAGAAGCAAAAGAAUUUCAUUUAAUUUCCCCCUUCUCACCCCUGAAAGUGCUUUGCUAGAUUUCAGCCACCAGCAUUUAGGUGGGUGGGGUUUUUUUGGGGGGGGGGCGUUGUUCUUUAAGUUUGCUUUGGGAAAUUAGCCAACUAUACAUAUUUCUGCAUUGCAGAGGUUUGGACUAGAUGGUCCUCAGAAUUUCUUCCAAGUCUAUGAUUUUAUACUAUUGCUAGGAACACAGCUGAAUGAGUUAACCCGUUGCUCAACCUUUAGGUACAUGCAUUGCAUGCAGUGGAUAAGAGAAUUAGACAGCAGGUGAUGGGAAAGAUCCCCAUCUUAGAUGCCAGAAAGUCACUUUUAGCCAGAACAGACAAUACUGAGCUCAAUGGACAAAUAAUCAAACCAAGCAUAAAGAAGUUUUCUAUUUUUCUGCAUAACAGAUUGCCAAGAUCUGAACAAGGCAUCUCUUCUUUCAGCAAGAUGGUUCAUGAAACACUUCCUUUUAGGGCAACUGGUCCAUGAAACUUGCAUACCUGAUGCUAUCGUGGAGACCCCACACCAGCAAUGCCUGAAGAUGCUGGACCAGAUAGAGGUUUUUGGAUAGCAUGUUGUGGAUACAAUUUGCAGCACCAAAUCCAUUUCCCGUUCUUUUUCUCCACCCCCCUCCCUUGCAGUGAGCAGCUGAACAUUAAAUUGGCAGCAAAAUCCAUUGCAGACCCCCCCAGAGACUCAUUAAAGACCCAGAUAACUCUGACAUUGAGCACAAUGGCUUCUGCUUGAUCGGCUAUGCCAAUUUCUCAGAUGUACAGAAGGCAAGAUGGGAAACAUAUUUCUUAUUAGGGCACACAUGUAAUGAGGCAAUUGCUAAAAUGCUCUGGACAAGACUACCUAUUAGAUGUUUCUUGCAGUAUGACUACUUUUGAACCAAGUGGGUUUCAGCUCAAGGUGGAAUGAAUUGACAUUUCAGUUUGACACUGUUACUAUUGGUGGCAGUUAAGUAAAUGAUCCUGUUAGGAUCCCAUGCUUUAAAAAAACCAUAUCCUAUGACAAAAAUCUAAUAAAUAAUCAUACUGACAGGAUGUGUGUCAAUGUACUUUUUGUGCUUCUGUGACUUUACUUUGCACACAUGCAGUUUAGCAGCUGAGUCAGAGGAGAGGUUGGAAUAUACAGUAACGCCCACUAAGGGUGGUUGCUCCCCCCCCCCCGUCAAGUUUCUAGCCCUCUUGAUUGCAGAGGAAAGCUUUGAAAAGACUGAACAGUGUCCCUGUAGCUCAGUGGUAGAACAUUUGCUUUGCAUGCAGAAAGUCUAAUCUCCAGCGGCGUCUCCAGAUAUGGCUGAAAGAGGCCCCCACACAAACCCGAAAGUUGUUGAGCUUUCACAAAAACGCAAAGAGAGAGAGAGAGAGGUUUCUCGAUUGAUUUGCCUAAGAUCUGCCUUUCGAAAAGUUUCCCCGGAUGUCUGGUAACAUCUAGGGAAAUCCAGACGUAUGGCAGCCCUAACAUAGACCAAUGGUCUGACUCUGUAUAUGGCAGCUUCGUAUGUCCUCCCCCCCCCCAUUCCCAUAGGUUCCCAGUUGUAGAAAGUGAGCCAGGCUACCCCAGACUGUUUCUGUCUCAUUGGCCAGUUAUAUCCCUGCAUCCGUCUCUAAUCAAACAGACCAAUAUUUAAUUUCUACAGAGGGCAAACAAAUGCAGUUUUCUUUCCUCCUCCUUCCUCCUCUCAAAAUGGCAUCUGAGUCCCCUGAUAGCCAUCUGCUUCUCUUCCCAUCUGCGAUGGAUGUAGUGUUAUAAUUGGACAUACGCUUUUGACACCUACUAAGAAGAGCUGCCAGCUUCUGUAGCCAAUUUUAAGCCAAGGCUUCUUUGCUGUCCUCCCAAACAGGCUUCUUAUUAAGGGACUGUCAAAAGGUGGGGUGAGUGAAGAGUUAACAAGGAUUCUUGUCUGGACUAAAAAGAGAAAAAGCAAUUAUCGCCCCCCUCCCCAUUGCCACUCCAACAUCUAUUGUGUUAGGCAUAGGUGGCUCCUCUUGCUGAUAAAAACUAUGCAAUGGAAAGUUUUCCUGCUCAAGCCCCAUUGAAAUGAAUGGGGGUUGCUCAAGAGCACUGCUGCAUUGACCCAUAAUGAAUUGCUUCAGCAGCAACAAAGCCACGAGUUACCAUGAUUUGCAGGCAAGGAUGAGGGAAGAUAUUCAACUCAGUUCACAUUUAUUUCACUUUUUAGUUUUAUUUCAGCAAUUUACAUACCGCAUAAUCACAGUCAUCUCUAAGCAGUGCACAGGAGACCAGAUGUAGAGGGCAAAAGAUGAGUGAAAACUGUGAAAUUAGAGUUGAUUUUAAAAACCUGCUGGGAUAAAUAAUAAUAAAAAUAGGCCUUCAGGAAGUGCGAGAAGUUCAACAAGGAGAGGACCUGUCUGACUCCAACUGGAGGCAAAUUAAACAAAAUUGGACCAUAAUACUGAACACAAGACUCUUUUGGAUCUAAGCUGUGCAUCCAAGCUAUGGGGACCAUUAACAGUGACUCCGCUGAAAACCUAGGAAAUUGAACAGGGAUAUAAAAAGCAUCAGGUGGUCCUUGUAAAUUAAUACAGGAACCUUGAACCUAACCAGCUAGUAUAUGAGCAACUAGUUCAAGCUUUGUAGAGUUAUGUGCUGGCAAUUAUUAAAUGGACACAAGAUUUGGGGCAUAAUAUACAAUUUGAAGAUUGGGAAAAAUUAUGGAAAGUGAAUCUGAAAUUCACGGAUUGCAUAUUGUUGAAAGAGAACUACAUGAAAAUGAUGUAUAGAUGGUAUAUUACACUGGUAAAAAUGGCAAAAAUGUAUAAAACAGGAUCAAAAAAUUGUUGGAAAUGCAAAGAGAAGGAAGGCACUUUUUACCAUAUGUGGUGGGAAUGUAGAGUUGUAAAGAAUUUUUGGGAAAUGAUAUAUAAUGAACUGAAAAAAAUGUUUAAAAUGGCAUUUGUAAAAAAGCCAGAAGCCUUUUUGCUGGGUAUUUCAGGUCAAGAACGGCGAAAAGAAAAAAGAAAAAUAUUUAUGUAUGCUACAACAGCGGCAAGCGUUUUGUUAGCACAAGGCUGGAAGACAGGAGAAGUACCAACGAAAGAACAAUGGCAAGAAAAAUUGAUGAAAUAUGCAGAAUUAGCAAAGUUAACAGACAAUGUACAUGAAAAGGACAAUAGUGAUUUUAAAAAAGAUUGAGAACCUUUCACAACUUACCUAUAGAAACAACAAAAAGAGAUGGACUCAUUGGCAGGUUUCACAACUUUAAGCAGAAUAUGAUGAAAGAUAGUGUAACAACAUGUAUAGUUAUUUAACUUGCAGAAGAUAACAAGUAAUGAAAUAAACCAGAAAGGGAAGAUGAAGGAAGUCAAUGGGAGGGUGGGGAUUGUAAAAUAUAAAAUUUGGAUAAUUGUAUUUGCAAUUUGCUAUAACAAAGAAACCCAAUAAAAAUGCAUUUUAUUUUAUCUUAUUUUAUAUAAAAAUACCUUGCAACCUUUGCUGUCACCUUCUCAUCUUGAUCUCCCAAGAGAAAGGACACUGUGGCAGUGGCUGGGCGACCUGGAAUGGACAAUGAAAGAAGGGUGAUAAUCUUAUACCUCAAGUCUUUAUAAAGCAUGCAAGCCAGAAGGGCAUGUGCCACCGAUUCAUUACUGCCACCUCCACAGGGACAUAAGCGUUUUUUGUGUGGAAUCUGUUGGAACCAUCCCUCAAGUACAGCCCAGGGCAAUACAUUCAAUCUUGAAAAAGUAAAAGCGCAUCUAUAUUUUAGAAUUGCUUGGUUAUACAGGUAGGGUGGCAAUGCUUGGUGUAAGGGCUGCCAACGUGAAUAAAAUAUUCGGGCCCCCAAAUAAGUCCUGCCCUGUAUACUCGAUCAUGUGACACAGCACAAAAACACAAUUUGAAUGGCAAUGCCCAUCAACUGGGUGGGGGGGCAGCCCCCUCAGAUACUUUAUUGGGGGGUGCGCAAGGGACCUCAGUCCCAGGGAAUUGGCUCCUAUCCUUGGCAUCUCUGGGCCAGGACCAACUGUAGGCCCACACUGAGUGCAUUACAAUAAUUGAGACGAGGUUAAAGGCAAUUUUACCUAAUUUGCACUUUCUGAAACAAUCUGUGGACUGAAACACAGCUACUCUUUGAAAUUUACUCCUUUAUGAUGGUCUGACUCACUACAAGUUAUGGUUACCAUUAGGUCUGAUCCUGCCUGUGUGAUCUCCAAAGAUACAGUAUGAAUCCAACUCAUAGCUAGUGACUGGAAUUCUAGAAUUGGAGAGUUGGAAGAAAGAGAUACCUUGAGGUAUCUAGUCCACCCCCUGCAAUGCAGGACUGGGCAGCUGUCCCAUAUGGGGAUUGAACCUGCAACCUUGGCAUUAUCAGCACUAUGCUCUAACCAACUGAGCUAUCCAGGCUAACUUAAUGUGGUAGACCAAACAAAAACCUGCAAAGUUGACCGACUCAGUCCAAAGUUUUGGAACUGAGACCAGGCAAGGGUGUGCUUCCUUCCAUGAGUUUGUGAGUUCCAACUGAUGGUUCAUUUCUCAGUGGCAGAACAUUUGCUUCACAUGUAGUAGUGCUGGGAAUGUCCCCAGUUUGAGCCCCUGGAAAGAUGCUGCCAGUCAGUGCAGGCAAUACUGAACUAGAUAAGCUGCUUCUGUGGACUGCAGCAUCCCCAUAGCUCCAGGCUUGAGAGAACCUGGAGCAUAGUUCUGUGGCGAGUUGUCUGGAACUUGGAACAGCCCUAUUGAUUGUGGCAUGCAAGAUCCUGGCUGGGGAGGCGAGUGCUGACUGAGCGCCUGCCUUACCAAAAGAGCAGGAAACCAGCUUUUAAUAUGGUUUGCUUGGCCGACUCCCUUCAUGCAAUAUUGAAAGGGCGCUUUCAGCAAUGCAUCACCAGCUUGGCUGUGGCCCAUAAUGGAUUACUGAUCUCUCUUAAAUGCGACAACUUUGCUCCCAUGUUCUAUUAUGCAGUGGCUCCUUCCCAAGCAGCUCAGGUUCACCAGUGGGCUUGGUUUAAUUACAGGAUGUGAGCGAUGCCAAGUGCAAAGACUCUUUGGCACCAGGAUAUUCAAGCCGGGCCAACAUAGUACUUGUUAAUUUAUUGAUCCAUUAAUUUUAAGACUGGGCGGGGGAGGGGGGCAAUAUGUACAAUACCAAUUACUGGGCACUUUGCAUUCCUAAAAGUAAAUAUAUCUUGAUCAAGUGAAACACUGGCACACAGAAUCGGUGUCUGGACAUUUCCUCCACUCACCCACUUCCAAUUAUGGCGACUGUUUGCAUUUAGUAAUCAUAUGGAAAUGCCAAGGUUUUGUAACGUGAUGCUCCGCUGAAGCGAAGGUACGGUUGCCGUAUGUCAAAAAGUGAAAAUCCGGACAGAAAAAAAAAUGGUUGGCAAAGUUUUUGAGCUAUUUUUAAGGAAAUUCGCCAAAAUCUACACUUCCAACAUGGGUUGCCAUGCAUCUGGAAGUUGCCGUUCCCACCUGCACACUGUUUCCGACAGCCAAAUCCCAGCAAUGUCCAGAAAAUUUCGGACGUAUGGCAUCCCUGUCUUAGGUAAACCCCCACAUUCUUACCAGUUAAAGCACUAUAAUACCACUUCAAACAGUCAUGGCUACUCCCAAAGAAUUCUAGGAGGUUUAGUAUGUUAAGGGUGCUGAGAGUUGUUAGGAGGUCCUUAUUUCCCUUUUAGAGCAACAAUUCUCAGAGCGGUUUAACAAUCAACCUCUUUUCACAGGGAACUCUGGAAAUUGUUGCUCUGGGAGGGGGCUAGGGAGUUUCUUAAGAACUCUUGGCACCCUUAACAAAAUGCAGUUCCGAUGAAAAUAGGGGCGUCCUAUUCCAUAAUGAUGAUGAUGAUGAUUUUAUUAUUUAUACCCCACCCAUGUGAUUGGGCUGCCCCAACCACUCUGGGUGGCCUCUAACAUAUAUUAAAAUAUAAUGUAAUAUAAAAACUUCCCUAUACAGGGCUGCCUUCAGGUUUAGUCUUCUAAAGGUUGUAUACUUCCUUAUCUACUUGGCUCAGGAGUAUCUCCAUACUCUCCAACAUUUCUUCAGUGAAAAUAGGGACGUCCUAAGGCAUGGGUAGGCAAACUAAGGCCCGGGGGCUGGAUCCGGCCCAAUCACCUUCUCAAUCUGGCCUGUGGACGGUCCGGGAAUCAGCGUGUUUUUACAUGAGUAGAAUGUGUCCUUUUUUCUUUUUUUUAAAAUGAUAUUUAUUAAAGUUUCAAUAAAAGAUUAAACAUAAAACAUAAAAAAGAAAUACACAAUUCAAAAUGUAGAAUACAUAAUCUAAAAGAAAGAAAAAAUAAAGAAACAAGAAAACAAAAGACAAAAAAGAAAGUAAAACAAUUAAAAACAAUAUCACCUUUUCGUCUCCAUUUUUAAAUUUACUUAUUUUCUGGACCUCCUCGUACCUCCUCUUUUGUAUUCCAGUUCAAAUUGUUUGUCCAGCAAUUUCUUUCCUCUUUUUUUAAUCCCAAUCUUACUCUUAAUAUAAUAUAACAUUAAAAUUUUACCUUUUAAAAACCAAAUUUCCAUUUCCUUAAACUUUUUUAAUCCUAAUCCUUAAUCUUAAUCUAUCCAUAAUUUUAAAUCCUAAACAGCUGGAAGUGAAUGUGUCCUUUUAUUUAAAAUGCAUCUCUGGGUUAUUUAUGGGGCCUGCCUGGUGUUUUUACAUGAGUAGAAUGUGUCCUUUUAUUUGAAAUGCUUCUCUGGGUUAUUUGUGGGGCCUGCCUGGUGUUUUUACACGAGUAGAAUGUGUGCUUUUAUUUAAAAUGCAUCUCUGGGUUAUUUGUGGGGCAUAGGAAUUAGUUCCCCCCCCAAAAAAAAAUAUAGUUCGGCCCCCCACAAAGUCUGAGAGACAGUGGACUGGCCCCCUGCUGAAAAAGUUUGCUGACCCCUGUCCUAAGGAAAAGUGGGGCGUUCCUGGAUCAAACCAGAAACUGGGGCAGCUUCUGUAUAUUCAGAACUGUCCCUGGAAAAUAGGACCACUUGGAGUGUCUGGAAUUCUUUUGAGGAAGCCACAACUGUUUAAAGUGGUAUCAUAGUGUUGUAAAUGUAUGGUCUAAAAUUUGUUGAAAGCUCCCUGCACACAUAAGAUUAGUAUUUCAGGGAGAGAGUUAGGCUACAGCCCUUCUCCUUGACAGGACCUCUUCUCUGUGCAGGAUGGGAACCGUGAGCUGAUGCCAUUUAAACAUGUAUUUUCACCCAUCUGCAAUACAAAGUGUUGGGGUCUAAAGUGCUUCUUGGUGCACGCUGAAUGUCAUUGACUUCUUGCUUCACAGGACUGAGCCUUAUUACAAACAACAUACUUGGCUGAUAUACUCUGGGGCCCAGAUAUAACUGCCCACCACAUCAUUAAUUGGCCACAAACCUGAGGCAUUGACCUCAUGAGUAACUUGGCAAUGCUCUUGUUUCUCCAUAGCAGCCAUAGCAAUUAUAGGGCAGGAACAGAGAGGGCUGCCCUAUAUCUUUAGGCUAAGAUACCAUGCUUUCUGAAGUGGGUAAGAUGGUAGCUCCACAUUUCCAAAUAGGGGCUAUAGCUCAGCAGCGGGGCAUCUGCCUUGCAUGCAGAAAGUCCCAGGUUCAUUUCCUGGCAUCUCUAGGGAGAAACUCUUGCCUGAAAGCUUGCAAAGCCACUGCAACUUGAUGCAGAGAUGGGCCAGUGAUCUGAAUCAGUACGAGGCAGUUUCCUGUGUUCCUCUGAUCAACGUUGAUUAGGUCAGAGGCAAACAACUGAACUGGUGAAGCACUGAGUCAACACUAGAAAUAAAUAAAGAGGUAAUGAAGUCGCAAAUUUAUUAGCAGAUAAAAGAACCAUAACUCAGUGGCAGGACAUCUGCUUUGUACGCAGAAGGUCCCAGGUUCAGUCCCCAGCAUCUUGAGAUAAGACUGGGAGGGACCUCUGUCCAAAGAGCUCCUGCCAGUUAGACAAUACUGAGCAAGAUGGAUCAAUUAGGGCUGCCAUACAUCUGGAUUUUCAAAGGCAGAAUUGACAUCUGGGGGAAUUUAGCAGCACUUUGUCAUGGAAAAAUGAUGUUUUUGGUGUCCUAGAUCAAUCCUCUGACAGGCAGCUUCCUAAAUUCCUGUAUAAAAAUUGACCAGACUGGAGGAUGACUUACUUCAGUACUGGUGAUGAGGCAGCAUUAUCUAAGGUGCCUAGGAGCGUGAAGGUAUCUUAAGGGGUGUUGGCAGGCUGAAUGGCACCCACUUUUCCUGCACCCCUUUAAGUCACAGUCUCCCCCCUCAAGUCAUAGGUAUUGGGCAUAUCUAUUUCAUAAAACUUUCUUCCCUUCCACGCCCCAAACCUGAGUACUGAUUCCACCCUGUUUAUUCACAACACAUAAAUGUAUGGCAUGGGGUGUGGGUGUGUAAGGGAGAACUGAGAAUAAUAUGCUAAUAAGUGUGUUUGUUAGUACGUACAUGUGUGCAAGUAAGGGGGGAUGGAGAUUAAUAUGCUCAAAGGCAAAAUUGACACUGGUCUUUUCCAGUAUGAACACAGUGAAGUUGUGAGAAACUUACAUCCCUCCUCCCCACCGGCCUUUAUCACCUCUAUUUAUAAAAAGGAGCUUAAUGUAUGAUCGCAAUAAAACUAUGAUGCUAGCAAAACAAGCCAGAUUCUCUCCCCCCCCCCUUGCUCUCAGUCUGUGAGAAGUGCGUGGGCUGAGGUCUGCUGCAUUGCCGAAAGGGGUUUGUUUCUCCUCUUUCGUUUUGCUCAUUAUGUUCCCUCGAUUGUCUCAAAAUACCCCAUUAAGGGAUCAGCACUGCUUCUUGCAACUUUUUUUUUUAAAAAAAAUAAAUGUUCUGAGCCAUCUAGGAUUUGGGGUGGUUGGUAACUCAGAUGGGGAAUAAGCAAAGUCUAACCAAGGAAGCUCGUCAAAAAUUAAAAGUGUAUAGAAACAAGGAGAGCCAUCAGAAGAAGCUCUAUUCUAAAUUGCUUGUUUCCUCCCAAUAAGAGGGUAGUUUGUAAAGGAUUGGAAUAACCUAAUAAUGGAUAAGAUUUCCCUGCAGCUAAAUAGGAUGUCAAAUAUUCUGAUCACUUCUUAGAAAAAGGGCACAGAUUCUUAGCACACACAGAGUCAGCAAGAAAUAUUUUGCUUUAUGCUUCUUUGUUGUACACCUCCUCACUGUUUCACUGCCAAAUAUCCAACUCUCUUUCUGCCAAUGAUUGCAGGUAUUACAUCAAUCAUACAUUCAUAAGAUUCUGGGUUCAGUCUGCCCAUCCCCAAGUAAGGCUGGGGGAGACCCCUGUCAUUGUAGACAAUAUUGAACGAGAUGGACAAAUGGUUUGACUCAGUAUUAAGCUUCCUGUUUUCCAUGACUUGUAAGUAGGGGAUGGAGGGAAAAAAAUGAUUCAGUUCACAUUUAAAAGCAAAACUAUUUUUCCUACACUCUCACACUUCCCAAAACAAAAUGUGAACUGAAACACAGCCAUCUUCCAAAUGUUCCACUUCUUUGAAUUUUGCACUGCAGUUCUCCAGCCCAGCAACGUGCACAUAAAUUCACAUACUAGUAGAGUUAAAAUGCAUUAUAUCAGAGGGAAGGUUAGGAAAUUUGCACAAGGCUGUUGGGUUUUUCUGAGGAUUCGCAGACUGACAUGGGAAUGUGGGGAAUGGAACUUAGUAUUGGGAAAAAGAGAAACGGAGAAAAUCCAGAAUUGGUAAUUUGUUCCUCCCUAAUUGUAAACAAGCAGACGUUGCAUGGUUGUCCCAUUGUCCCAAUUGUAUUUUUUGUAUUGUAUUUGUUAAAGUGAGCAAAAAUAAUAUAGUAGAAUUAAAAAAUAAAACAGGAGCAGGAUUUCAUCAGAACCAUGUUAUAUUCAGUUACAUGUGGCACCAUGAGAUUUAGUUGUGUCCCACAAGGCCGAAGGCAUUUUGCAUUGGGCAGCAGAUCUUCUGCACCUUCCCCCCUUGUUUUAAACUUUUUAAUUUUGUUAACAACUUUGCUUACGGGGUAGAUGGGUGUGUAUGGGACCACAGCAUGUCUCUGCAUCUUAAUUUGUCCAGACAAAUUUGUUCCACGGGCAUGUUCCCUGAGGUUGUUGUUUUUUAAUCACCUAGAAAUGCUCUUCCUAGCCUCUAACACCCCUAUUGUCUUCCAAAAAGUCUCGAUCUGACACCUCCAUGAUGUUUAAGAGAGCAUGUUUAAUUGAGGAGGGGCAGGGCCAAGCCAAACAGAACAGAACAGGAAAAGCAGUCUGUCAGGCACUGUGGAUUUUGGGGGUGGGGGGACUGUGUGUAUGUGUUUUGGUCAUGUCCACUUUGGGUAAGGUCCUGUCUACCACUGGUAUGCAGCCCUCACCACUUUCUCCAAAGGAAAUGAAGCCCUUGCAGGGAGCAGGGAACAGUUCCUAACUGCUGAUGUACACCAGCAGUGAUGAUACAUGAGCUCUUUUUUGGGGGAGAGGGGGGAUUUCUAACCAUGAGGUAUGUUAUGUAUUGAAGUUCUCACCCUGGCCACCAGGAGUAUUGUGUAUGUAGUUUUCACUCAGGUCCACAUCAGUUACUUUAGGCGGGAAACCCUGGCUUGUUGUUGCUACAAUGCUGACAGCUGGCUGCCUAUAAAAGCAGGCCGGCUGAGCUGUCUGCUGUUCAGUUCUGUUCCAGCUUACAAAUAAAAAGCUGCUUUGGAGAAAUCGCUGCGUCGUCUGCUAUGUCUACCCACUAUUUAACAAUGUACAUACAAGUGCAGGAAUGCAAGAGGCACCAUGCAAUACACAGCCUAUUUCACAAACAUCAGCAUCUGUUUUCCAUUUUGAGCUGUGGCAGCAUUUCGCCAAAUAUACACCUUCAAACCAAAAGAACAACUCGUUGACUUUUAAAUUGUGGACGACAAGCAGAGUAAAUGAAAAACGUGUGCAAGAGACAGAGCAAGACCUCCAGAAACACAUUUGCAGAUUUGCAUUGGCGGGAGCCGAUGUGAGGAGCAUGCCUGUGCCAUUUUCUGGUCCUGGCUCUUUCUUUGUUCUUUUAAAUGUGGCAGCCAUUUUGUGCUGUAUGCCAUGCCCCCAAAGCAGCCAUGCUAUGUUAUGCAAUGACCUCAUGGCAGCCAUUUUGUGACUGGUACCCACAGUGCUUUCUUAAAAUUCUAAAUGUGUCCACUGACCAAUAAAGAUAUAAACCCAGUCCUCUCAUAUUGGCAUUGCUUUUUAAAAGCACCACUGCCUAUUUUUGAGUUAUGGAGCCCCCAUUGCUGGUUUUCCAGGACAUCUGCCCAAUUUCUGAAAAAUAACCCAGGAUGCCAUUUUCGGAGGUGAAUUCCAUGACAUGUCUUGGAAAAUCAGGACAUAUGGCAGCCCUUUCACCAACCCACCAAGGGAGAGUGGUUUUCUGGGAACAAGUAGCAGAAAAUGGGGGCCAUUGGAGCAUCUGGGGUCAGGCCCUGCCUCUCCAUGUGCUGUUGUUGGGAAAUGGAAUGCCCCAGGAAACCUCACUGCAUUGCCUUCUACUCAAACCCCUGUUUUGCUUCACUGAUUGCCAUUUAGAGUAGUCUUUUUUGAACACCUGCUCUCCCUGAAGGUUCAAUUCUAAGGCUCAGUCUGCACAUGCACCAGAAUGAAACAUACCUGCCAACAUUUCUCUGAUGAAAAUAGAGACAUCCCAUUCCAUAAUGUUAAUUUUACUAUUUAUACCCGACACAUCUUUCUGGGUUGCCCCAGUCAUUCUGGGUGGCUUCCAACAUAUAUAAAAACAUAAUUAAACAUUUAGCAUUAAAAAAACCCUUCCCUAUACAGGAUUGCCUUCAGACGGCUUGAGGGUAGGAUAACUUCAUACCCUCCAACAUUUCUCCAAUGAAAAUAGGGACAUCCUAAGGAAAAGCAGGACAUUCUGGGAUCAAAUCAGAAAUUGAGAUGUCUUCUCUAAAUCAGGGACAUCCUUAGAUAAUAGGGAUACUUGUAGGGUCUGAAUAAAGUGGUACAGUCCUCCUGAGACAAUAGAAUGUACCGGAUCUUACAUCAUAGUCCUUUCAAGAGGGGCUGGUACCCCACAGCAGUGCUGGCAGCCUUCAGCCAGCCUGCCCAGGAUGGAUCUGAGCUCAUCUUCCUCCCUUCAUCCCAGCAACACUGCUCCCCUCCAGCAGUUACUCUGGCAACCUUCCAAAUCCUGGGGCAAGGGGGAAAGAGUUCUCUUGUAUUGUUAAAGUCCCUCAAUUGUUCUUUUGAUAGUCAUAGCUCAGCCAGGUUGUUUUGCAUAAGGAAUUCCUUUGCAGCUUGCAUUCUCCCUUCAUAUCACAUCACAAAUAACCAAAAUCCUAGAUUUAUUAAUUUAUUAAUUAGAGCUGAUGAAGCGGCUGGGCCAAAGCCGAAAGGACGCUCAGUUGUGGAUAUGCCUGGAAGCGAAAGGAAAGUCCAAUGCUGUAAAGAAAAAUAUUGCAUAGGAACCUGGAAUGUAAGAACCAUGAACCUGGGUAAGUUGGAUGUGGUCAAAAAUGAGAUGGCAAGAAUAAAUAUUGACAUCCUGGGCAUCAGUGAACUAAAAUGGACGGGAAUGGGAGAAUUCAGUUCGGAUGACUAUCAUAUCUACUACUGUGGGCAAGAAACCUGUAAAAGAAAUGGAGUGGCCCUCAUAGUUAACAAAAGAGUGGCAAAAGCUGUACUGGGAUGCAAUCUCAAAAAUGAUAGAAUGAUCUCGAUACGAAUCCAAGGCAGACCUUUUAACAUCACAGUAAUCCAAGUUUAUGCACCAACUACUGGUGCUGAAGAAACUGAAAUUGACCAAUUCUAUGAAGACUUACAAGACCUUAUAGAAGUGACACCAAAGAAGGAUGUUCUUCUCAUUAUAGGGGAUUGGAAUGCUAAAGUAGGGAAUCAAGAGAUAAAAGGAACAACUGGCAAGUUUGGCCUUGGAGAUCAAAACGAAGCAGGGCAAAGGCUAAUAGAGUUCUGUCAAGAGAACAAGCUGGUCAUCACAAACACGCUUUCCCAACAACACAAGAGACGACUCUACACAUGGACAUCACCAGAUGGGCAACAUCGAAAUCAGAUUGAUUAUAUUCUCUGCAGCCAAAGAUGGAGAAGCUCUAUACAGUCAGCAAAAACAAGACCUGGAGCUGACUGUGGCUCAGAUCAUCAGCUUCUUAUAGCAAAAUUCAAGCUUAAACUGAAGAAAGUAGGAAAAACCACUGGGCCGGUAAGAUACAAUCUAAGUCAAAUCCCUUAUGAAUACACAGUGGAAGUGAGGAACAGGUUUAAGGAUUUAGAUUUGGUGGACAGAGUGCCUGAACUAUGGAUGGAGUCUCGUAACACUAUAGAGGAGGCAGCAACGAAAACCUCCCAAUGAAAAGGAAAUGCAAGAAAGCAAAGUGGCUGUCCAACAAGGCCUUACAAAUAGCGGGGGAAAGAAGGCAAGCAAAAUGCGAGGGAGAUAGUGAAAGAUACAGGAAAUUGAAUGCAGAUUUCCAAAAAAUAGCAAGGAGAGACAAGAAAGCCUUCUUAAACGAGCAAUGCAAAGAAAUAGAGGAAAACAGCAGAAUGGGAAGAACCAGAGAUCUGUUCAAGAAAAUCGGAGAUAUGAAAGGAACAUUUCGUACAAAGAUUACCGUAAUAAAGGACAAAAGUGGUAAGGACCUAACAGAAGCAGAAGACAUCAAGAAGAGGUGGCAAGAAUACACAGAGGAACUAUACCAGAAAGACAUGGAUGUCUCGUACACCCCAGGUAGUGUGGUUGCUGACCUUGAGCCAGACAUCCUGGAGAGUGAAGUCAAAUGGGCCUUAGAAAGCACUGCAAAUAACAAGGCCAGUGGAAGUGAUGGUAUUCCAGCUGAACUAUUUAAAAUUUUAAAAGAUGAUGCUGUUAAGGUGCUACACUCAAUAUGCCAGCAAGUUUGGAAAACUCAGCAGCGGCCAGAGGAUUGGAGGAGAUCAGUCUACAUCCCAAUCCCAAAGAAGGGCAGUGCCAAAGAAUGCUCCAACUACCGCACAAUUGCACUCAUUUCACAUGCUAGCAAGGUUAUGCUUAAAAUUCUACAAGGAAGGCUCAAGCAGUAUGUGGACCCAGAACUCCCAGAAGUGCAAGCUGGAUUUAGAAGAGGCAGAGGAACCAGAGACCAAAUUGCAAACAUGCGCUGGAUUAUGGAGAAAGCUAGAGAGUUCCAGAAAGACAUCUACUUCUGCUUCAUUGACUAUGCAAAAGCCUUUGACUGUGUCGACCACAGCAAACUAUGGCAAGUUCUUAAAGAAAUGGGAGUGCCUGAUCACCUCAUCUGUCUCCUGAGAAAUCUCUAUGUGGGACAAGAAGCUACAGUUAGAACUGGAUAUGGAACAACUGAUUGGUUAAAAAUUGGGAAAGGAGUACGACCAGGCUGUAUAUUGUCUCCCUGCUUAUUUAACUUAUAUGCAGAAUUCAUCAUGCAAAAGGCUGGGCUGGAUGAAUCCGAAGCCGGAAUUAAGAUAGCCGGAAGAAAUAUCAACAACCUCAGAUAUGCAGAUGAUACAACCUUGAUGGCAGAAAGUGAGGAGGAAUUAAAGAACCUUUUAUUGAGGGUGAAAGAGGAGAGCGCAAAAUAUGGUCUGAAGCUCAACAUCAAAAAAACGAAGAUCAUGGCCACUGGUCCCAUUACCUCCUGGCAAAUAGAAGGGGGGAAAAUGGAGGCAGUAAGAGAUUUUACUUUCUUGGGCUCCAUGAUCACUGAAGAUGGUGACAGCAGUCACAAAAUUAAAAGACGCCUGCUUCUUGGGAGAAAAGCAAUGACAAACCUAGACAGCAUCCUAAAAAGCAGAGACAUCACCUUGCCAACAAAGGUCCGUAUAGUAAAAGCUAUGGUUUUCCCAGUAGUGAUGUAUGGAAGUGAGAGAUGGACCAUAAAGAAGGCUGAUCGCCGAAGAAUUGAUGCUUUUGAAUUAUGGUGCUGGAGGAGACUCUUGAGAGUCCCAUGGACUGCAAGAAGAUCAAACCUAUCCAUUCUUAAGGAAAUCAGCCCUAAGUGCUCACUGGAAGGACAGAUCGUGAAGUCGAGCUCCAGCACUUUGGUCACCUCAUGAGAAGAGAAGACUCCCUGGAAAAGACCCUGAUGUUGGGAAAGAUGGAGGGCACAAGGAGAAGGGGGCGACAGAGGAUGAGAUGGUUGGAUGGUAUUCUCGAAGCUACCAGCAUGAGUCUGUCCAAACUGCGGGAAGCAGUGGAGGACAGAAGUGCCUGGCAUGCUCUGGUCCAUGGGGUCACGAAGAGUCGGACACGACUAAAUGACUAAACAACAACAAGGGUUUAAGGGGGACCCCCUAAAUCUAUCUAUAUAUUUAUAUGUACAGUGGUGCCUCGCAAGACGAAAUUAAUCCGUUCCGCGAGAGUCUUCGUCUAGCGGUUUUUUCGUCUUGCGAAGCAAGCCCAUUGACGGAUUAGCGCUAUUAGCGCUAUUAGCGGUUUAGCGGCUAUUAAAGCCUUAAAGGCUUAGGGAUUAGCUGCUAAAAGGCUAUUAAAGGCUAUUAAAGGCUUAGCAGAUUAGAUAAAGGGGGAAGCGGAAAAAAAUCUCAAGACUCGCAAGAUAUUUUCGUCUUGCGAAGCAAGCCCAUAGGGGAAUUCGUCCUGCGAAGCAACUUCAAAACGGAAAACCCUUUCGUCUAGCGGUUUUUCCGUCUUGCGAGGCAUUCGUCUUGCGGGGCACCACUGUAUAUAAUAAACAAACAUUAUAUAUCUCCAGAACACUCUCCUUCUCUCACACAUAAACACACUCUGUUACAAAUCUCUUUCUCUUGCAACACAAAUAUACCCCCCUCACACACCCUCUCACAGGCACAUAUAUUUCUCACACACAAGCACAAAAUAUCUCUCUCUCUCUCUCUCUCUCUCUCUCACACACACACACACACACACACACAGAGUCUGUCACACACCCACAUAAACAAUAUACUGUAUAUUUCUCUCUCUCUCUCUCUCUCUCUCACACACACACACACACACAGAGAGAGAGAGAGAGAGAGAGAGAGAGAGAGAGAGAGAGAGCUAUUAGCUACAAAUACCUUUCUCUCCCCACAACCCUCAGUGCUAAAAUCAACCUGGUGAAAAGAUUAUUAAUUUCAGUCAGGGAAAUGAUAGUGCAGAAUGGGGGGUUCAUAUCCGACGGUCAUAGCCCUGCGAUUCAGUUUUUCCCAACCUGUCACACAACCCUUGGUAAGCAAAGAAGAAGCCAUCAGCAGACCAAAUCACAGGCUUCCCACAUCACGUCUGUUGUGGCCUAGGUGGGAGAUUAUAUCUCUGGAUGAUGCCCUAGCAACUCUCUGAAUGAAGAAAAGUGGAACGGCAAAGGGAAAACUUUUUCUUCUCUAUGCACCUGUUUUUGCUUUGUUUCUGCUUUCCAUGAGCUUCUAUACACGGGAAAGCAUUAAAAAAAUGUACACUAUACAUCUGGAAGGAUGCUGUGGCCUAAUUUUGCCAUGAGUGUAGAAGGGGGAUGGGGAAGUUAUUGGACUCCAGCUCCCAUCAGCCUCAGUGUGGCCAGUGGCUAUGGAUGAUGGCAGUUGUAGUCCAGAAACACCUGGAGAGACACAAGUUUUCCACCCCACUUGUAUACCAAGUCCCAUACACACCAAAUGUGACGAUUGUUAGCAAAUGCACUUGAACAAUGCAGAUGGAGUCCUGAUGGCAUAAUGUUUUACUGCAGAAACCAAACAAAAACAGUGCAUCAUCUGAGUUCAGGCCUUGUACAGAGCAGGCAGAGGCAGACUGAAGCAGCUGCCUUGGGUGGCAGAAUCCAGGGGGAUGCUGCCACUGCGGUUGCCCCACUUGCCCCUGCCCCUGCUGCUAGGGUCACACAGUGAAGGUGGCUUUUUCCAGUGAGAUCUCAUGAGAGUUCUAUGAGAUCUCGCUGGAAGUCACUGAACAACCCCAGUAAGCGAGGCUUCGGCAAAAGGCUGCAGCCACAAUGGGGCAAGGCAGCAACUUUCCAUUUUGCCUCAUGCAAUGGGAUGAGCACUCAUGAGAGCGGGAACUCAUUCAACAAAACUAGGCUUGCCAUAUGUCAGGAAAAUUCCUGGUAUGUUCUGUUUUUUUUGCUGAAAUGGCAAAAUAUCAGAGAAAACCUGGAUGUAUGGCAACGCGAUUGAAAAAGCACUUUAAGCAGCUCCAAAAGCUUAAAAUCACUAUAUUUUGUGGGGAGGCUCAACAACUUCGGGGAGGCUUUUUUGAAAUAUGGCAACCCUAAACAAAACGUACAGAAGAAAAACUCCCUGAGAACUUCACAGCCAAUCAGAGCAUGUGCUACUUCAGUAAACACCAUGUCUGGUGUCUACCUGGUUGCUAAGCAACACCUCCACCCAUCCCCCUCUGGGCUAGUUGACUUUAACACCAACAGAACUAACCCUUAAACUGCAAAUUGAAUGAUCCCUACUGUUGCCCUUCCAACAAUGGUAAGGCUGUUUCAUGACUUCAGGCAGCAUGUGGCAACUCACAAAAACAACACACACAAAAAAACCCCCCAAUAAAAAUCCAUGCACACAGGAGGCUAGCAUGCUUUAUUCCCAAUGUGCCGAUAAUAUAACUUGAUUAUUUUUGGAAAUAUUCCAGGGAAGGGAGUUUGAUAAAUAUGCAUGUAUGUCUCCCCUUUCACAAAUCCACAACCAGCUCCUACACACAUACACACACACACACAGGCAAUCCAACAAGUUUUCUGAUUAUUCCCCCCAACUCACAUACCGCCAAUUACAUUUGCCUAAAAAUAAAACCUCCAAUCAAAACCCGACCUCUUAUGUAAUUAGCUAGGCUGCCUGCCUUUCCUCUCCCACAGAAUGCCAAAUGAAACCAAAGGGUCUGCGAUGCUCAUUUAAAGUGAAAGGAGCAGGCACAAAAUCUUUUUUGGCCCUGAGUGUGCUCAGCUACUCCAUGUUUGCAGCCUGGUUGAGCCUAGUCAUAGUUCAAGGAGAGGAAAUGACCUCUCCUGGCAUCUUUUAGGGAAGGAUCUUAGCUCAGUGAUAGAAGGUCCUUGGUUCAUUCCCCAGCAUUUCCAGGUAGGGAUGAAAGGGAUCCCAGUCUGAAUAAUACUAAUACUAAUAAUAAAAAAUACCCUGCCCAUCUGGUUGGGUUUUCCUAGCCACUCUGGGCAGCACAUAAGGGGAUAAGAGUGGGGGACGACGACAUAGUUUUCAGUACACAGCCAAAUCACACCUGGCGACCAAAGAGGAAAGGCUGUUAAUUUAAAUACUGAAUUUUGCAUUAGCAGUUGCACUACUUUAGUACAUUGGGCAGCAGACAGACACUGUGUCCUGUAUCUCCGUUUCCCACAGGGAAAACUCUCCCCUCCUUGUCAGUCAGUGUGGACAAUACUGAGCUAGAUAGCUGAAUGAUCUGACUUAGUAUAAGGCAGCUUUCAAUUUUCCUAAUAGUUUUUGCUCUGUUUGACUGUAUGUUGGUCAUCAAUGGCAGGCAAAUUAGACAGGGCUCCACGGAGAUGGAAGAAGGGAACAUAUUACCUACCUUUAAUGUGUGUCAUGCUCCUGGUCCCAAUAUGGCAGCUUUCCACAAAUAAUAGCCCAGUUUGUGGGCUGAAGACCUUCCUGUCUAGCCCAUGGGACUCUCCCCAAGGCUUUUGCCUGAUUCAGAUGUGUCCUUGGGUGUUUCCAGACUGGGAUUCAAUCACAUUCCAGCAAAUUCAGGUUGUUCGGAAAAGUGGCAGGAAAAUGCACUGGAAAAUGUGGGAUGAUGACGAUUGCUUGAUGCAAUGUUGUCUAACCUGGCUGCAAACUUUUGUGCAAACAAAUCAGGUUGGUUGGAUGCUCAGCAAAAGGACCACCUGGAAGCAACUCUUGAGCAGUGAUGAUGCCUCUCACUUGCCUGGAUGGAGGAGGGAGAGAGGUGUACAUGACAGAGGAUGAGUGUAGAAACCUCCAACUUCUGUGUUGCAAACUUAAGAGUCGCCUCUGUUGUUCUAACCACUUUUGCCUCUGCAGCCCCAUCAUUGGAAUGUGGCCCCAAGAAAGUCAUUUUGAAGAGGGUUCUCUACACCAACAGCAGCUAAAAAUACAGGAGAGCUGUUUGUGUCUUUCCAGCUUUCCUGCCCCUAUAUCUGGAAGGCUUCCUUGCUCCCAGGCUUAAUACCAUUAAUGAUUCGCCCUUUCUCAAUGCCGAUGUUACCUCAAAACUGUUACUUGCUGGACAGUAUCUGUGCCCUCACUGAUGCUGAGAAAGCCAUGCACCUUCCCAUUCCCUCCAGAGCCACCCCAUUUUGCAACCCAGAGAUUGGGCAUCAGAGAGGGAACUUGCAUGCAAAACCGUUUUAGUCCAAGAGAAAAAUGUGAGUAGGCUGCCUGUCAGUGUCACACACAGACACACACGCAAACACACCGACACUGCCUUGAGCCUGCACUACAGCUGAAGUCAAAAUGACAUGGAACUCCUGCCCAUUUUGCCUGCACCAAGGCUUGUCAGUUUCAGCUCCUAUGUAGUCCCCCAUUUUCAGGUUGGCACUUAUGUGCACAUGCACCAUCCAGACACACUGAAUUCAGUAUGACCUCUAAAACACAGCCCAGAUUCCUACCUUCCCUUUCUCUUUUAGCUUAGGAUCGCAUCCACACCAAGCAUUAAAAGCACAUGGCUUCUCCUGAAGAUUCCUGGGAACUGUUAAGGGAGCUGGGGAUGACAGCUCUGUGAAGGGUAGGCUGCAGUUCCCAGGAUUAUUCUUGAGACCGUGUGAAGAAUGUGCUUUAAAUGUGCUUUGACUGUAUGUUGUGGGAAUGACCUAGGACAUGGGUGGGGAGCCUCCAUUCUAGGGGCCAAAUGUGGCCCUUGGUACCUGUCAGGGAACUGACAUCGGAGCCAGAGGCGGAGGCUAGGCUCCCAAGUGAUGCUGGAGAAGGGCCCAGCAGGGAGAGAGGCAGCUCAUCAGCUGGGGAAGGAAAUCAGCGUAACACCAGGGAUAAAGGGGGGCAGAUGGGGGAAUCGGCGAGGGGGCUCCAGGACUCCUUGCCGGAGACCAGCGGGGAGAGCACGGGUCCUCCGCUACCCACGCCCUCCCUGCGCAGAAGACUUCCGCGCAGGGAGAGUAGGAGGAGACUUGGCGUCAAACAGCUUUUAUGCUGGAAAAGGUUUAAGAAAAGCCCACUGAAGGAUUCUGCUAGCAACUGAAACAGCCACGAAGUGAAGGGCUGUCCAGACAGAAAAGGUUUAACCAGGCAACCUAGCCAGGAGUGGCGGCAACUUACGCACGAGCAACCCCUAUUAUUAUUACAGUACCUUACUGACUGCACCUUGGUCCCUACAUUGGCUCCCAGUACAUUUCCGAGCAUUUUUGUGUUGGUGCUGACCUUUAAAGCCUUAAACGGCCUCAGUCCAGGAUACCUGAAGGAGCGUCUCCACCACCAUCGUUCUGCCCGGACGCUGAGGUCCAGCGCCGAGAGCCUUCUGGCAGUUCCCUCACUGCAAGAAGCAAAGUUACAGGGAACCAGGCAAAGGGCUUUCUGGGUAGUGGCACCUGCCCUGUGGAAUGCCCUCCCAUCAGAUAUCAAGGUAAUAAACAACUAUCUAACUUUUAGAAGACAUCUGAAGGCGGCCCUGUUUAGGGAAGUUUUUAAUGUUUGAUGCUUUAUCGAGUUUUUAGUAUUCUGUUGGGAGCCACCUAGAGUGGCUGGGGAAACCCAGCCAGAUGGGCGGGGUAUAAAUAUUAUCAGUUGUUAUUAUUAUUAUUGCUUCCUUGUCACUUAACUGAUAACUUUUUAAAUGCCCCAGUUUUUCUGUUUCUCUGUCUUUCCAACCAAGUUAUCCAACCAAGCCAUGUAUUUUCCAUAAAACAAAAAUCAGACGUUUUCUUACCUACCUCGCUAUAAAAUUUCCUGUUCAUAGACUUUGUAACGUCAGCUCAGGGCUUUUGAAUGCACAUUUGUUUUCCACCUUCCCUGCUAUCACCACCCUAGGCAGUCAGCUGGAAAAAGAAGAGACUUAUUUAUUGGGAGAGAAACAUGCUCAGAAAUUUUUUUUAGAUAACCCUCACACAUCAGUUUCUACAGAAACCGCUCCCCUAGUGCCCUUUCAGAAUUGCCAGUCACAUGGGGCUCAGAGUAGAGCCCAUCCCAGUGCCAAAAUUGAAGCAAAAUAACAGCAAAGAUUAGGGAAUGCUUGAAAGAAUAUCUGUCUCACUCUGGGUAGUAUUUGUUAGCAUCUUCAUUUACUUAAGGCUUUUUUAAGCCUGCUUUUUGAUCUGCGUGAGUCUACAAAGCUUGCAAAAACCAAAAGCAAAGCUUUAGACUAUAGCUGCCUCUUCCUCACUUCUCCAGACAAUCUCGGGUCCUCCAGACUGGGAGAUGUUUUCUGUGGGUGUUUCCUGCAUUAUGUCAUUGAUGGACAGUCCACACACAUUAUUCCUCUUUAUAAGUUGUCCUGCAAUGCUUCCCUAAGGGUGUCACAUUAGUGCUGCCUGAAGCAGCAAUCUUGUACUACAAUGCAACAAAACCAGAUCAAACAACAACACCUCAGAACAUUUCCAUGGAUGUAGCCAGUGAGGGGCAGUGGGGGCAGCAACCCCUCCCCUAAAUCAAGUAAAUAAAUGAAGAUACUUAAGUAAAAGUAUAAAGAAUCAGAAUAUUUGAAAUUAAAAUGCUUUGUGAGGUCAGUUGGAUGAUGUCGCGAAGCAUUCUAGCGACACAACUGGCAACUCGACUGAGCGAUAGGUGAGGCUUCUGUGAACUGACCAGUCUCGUCACAGGUAGCUCAGUUCUGGAACAGGACAGGUGGGUGUCCUGCCCCCACCCCAACAACAUACCGUAUUUUUUGCUCUAUAGGACACACUCCCCCCCCCUCCAAAAUUAAGGGGAAAUGUGUGUGCGUCCUAUGGAGCGAAUGCAGGCUCCAUGGCUUCAGCAAUAGCAAUGCGAAGCCUCCAAAGCGCAGAGGGAGCGCUCCCAGUCCCACCAGGAGAUGCUGGGGACUGAACCUGCUGCCUUCUGCAUGCUAAGCAGUUGUUCUACCACUGAGCUAUGGCCCUAGCUCACAAUAUUGCUGUCAGGAUAAAAUGGAGAAGGUGGAGGCUGAAGUGUGUAUGCUCUGUGGAGGAAAGGUGGGAUAGAAGUAUAAGAAGGAAUAAAGUAUGUAAACUAGCCUAUAAGUGAAUAAACUACAGUAUAUUUUUAACUUACUCUCCUAAUAAUUUGUAUAUAAAUUAUUAAAGUGGUAUAUAAAUUUUGUUAAAUAAAAAAAGGGGAAAUGUUCAGACUUUCAAGCAAUAUGUUAUGCCUGAGCCUUCAUUGCUGAAACUCCCAACAGCAUUUUCAUGCUCACAAACACCUGAUGAAGGAACCAUUGUGACAUAACCCGUUCAAGCAGAGUGAAGGGGCAACAGGCUGUCAACAGUGGCAGUAGUUGGGGGCUCCCAUCUAUCAAAAAGCCACAGAAAGUCUUUUCCUACUGCCUGAGGAAUUAAUCCCUUAUUUAACGUUCAUAAUUGCUGGAUCGAUUUAACAGGACUGGAGCUAACAUUUGCUUGGAUUUGGCACCAUUCAUAGGGAACUGCCUGCUGCGUCCUCCGCUUUGAAGUCACCCUGGUCUUUGGGCCUCCAGCACCUUCUUCAGCAUGUCCAACCCAUCUAAGAGGCGUAUGAUACUGGUGUUCCACUGGGUUAGGAAGAAGCCCUUGACAGAGAAGCCGUGCUCUACCACCUCGGCCAGACCUUCUGCCUCUGCACCGGCUUGCAACGCUCCUCACAUUUCACCCUACUUCACGAGGAGCAAGACACAACCCGCUCUGCUCAGGAGGUCCAGCAGGCGCAAGGUGCUGCGAUUGCCGAAUCUCACCAACCCCAAGUUUUUAAGAUCUGUCAUUGGCAGCGUUGGCCGGAAGAGAGCCCGCAGGCGUGGCAAGCAAAAGAUGCCCACGAGCAUUUAAGAUAUGAAAAGCUACUGGAUUUAAUCAGGAAGUUAUGAGGCAUGCACUGAUUGGAAGCAAAGCUGUAUAUCGGCCCUGAACCUUCUGCAGUUGCAGGUUAAGUAGGCUUGCUUUUAAAUGCCAUCUGAAUCAAGUUUCUCCCCCAUCCCUAUUGGUAGCUAUGUGGAGGGUUGCUAUCACUUCUUCCUCCCUCCCUCUCCACUCCAGUGUAUCUUUUAACAUGAGCCAAAGAAGCAGACAAAAGGCAAAUGCUUUCCUCUCAGCUCUGUUCCCACUGGAGUCCACUGGUCUCCUCCUUCUGUCACAGGCUCAUCCCCCUGAUCUCUCCCAGGUACCAGACGCUUUGCAACCAGAAGUUUAGUGAUCCUUCCACUUUGUUCCAGAUUUGGCAAGUAGGCCACAUAUGCCUUCCAGAUCUCGAGAAGAGGCCUGCCAUCUUCCACGCUUUGAUGCUGAGUGUCACGGAGGUGUUCCAUAAAGGCUUCCCUUUUACGGAUGGUGACUGUACUUCUCUCCCCUCCUGCCUUUCAUUUCCUCUAAAGCUGCACCGCUACUGCAAAGCACAUCAGCUAAUGAAGCUGCUGACACUUCUAGGUCUCAGGGGGAUUCCCCCUCCCCCCAAUUUUACUUUGCAG
Non-coding RNA from Podarcis lilfordi (Lilford's wall lizard), 66632 nucleotides. NCBI's taxonomy places the organism in Eukaryota, Metazoa, Chordata, Lepidosauria, Squamata, Lacertidae. The record is from the annotation of a GenBank genome assembly.